Molecule: long non-coding RNA, 63557 nt
Organism: Motacilla alba alba
Lineage: Eukaryota; Metazoa; Chordata; Aves; Passeriformes; Motacillidae
Exons: 4
Source: RefSeq, a predicted model, not a curated record
CUGUUUAGUUUGGCUCCUCAUGAGUUUGGUGUUGUCAGUCCACUGAACAGUGGUGGCACCUGAACUUCUCUAAUAGCUGCAGCCUCAUGGUGGGACACUGAGUAACACUGGUUGACUUGGGGAAUGCCAAGGACCUUGCCUGGGAAAGCAUAAGGAGCAGAUCAUGGCUGAGGUAACCUGGAAGACAGCUCAGAAAAUUUGUUUCUACAGCCAGGUCUACUUGAUGCAGAGCUGUCACUGUGCAAGUCCUCUCAGAUUCAAUGCUGAGGCUUGCAAUGCUGCUGGUCCUAAAUUUUUUGGGCUCAGGUGGGGUAGACUUGUUAUACUGGAAGAGAUGAUGAUGUUGUUCUCAGCCCGCAUCCUGUCUCUGGCCCUGGUCAAAGGCAGGUGCUUCAAAACAAAACAAAAACUGUAGGUGAAAGUGAAAUAGAUGGCUAAAAAGUAGCCAGGUCAUAUGAGAAACUUUCUACCAAAACAUUUCAAGCUCAUGUUGGCUUGUGCCCGAGUCAUGCCUGCUCACCAGAGGGCUUUGUGAUGAGUUGUAGGUGGCAGAUUCCAGCUAGUUUACAGCAUCUGAACACAUAAAUCUUUCCUUUCUUACCCCCCAGUAUCCAAGUGUGUGGCCUUUGCUACUUCAGUGUCUCUUUUAAGCAGCUUAAAAGUUUUUCUAAGUGAAAUAUGCUUCUGUGCUGCAGUUCAGAGAUAAAUAUAGCUGAUGAGUUGAAAGAAGACCAUAGUAUGUGCUAUGUUGCCUUACCCAGUAUUUUUUUUUCUUUUUGUGGUGAUUCUGUGCUAACUCAAAAUGGAAAAUCUCCUGAAAGAUGUUAUUUUUCCUUUUUAAAGAAAUUACAGGCCAGAAUGCCAUUCACUGCCUUAAGCUGCAUCCAGUAAAGGAUUAACUCUCCACCCCUCUCCACCAGCCCAGUGCUGUGUGUUUGGAAAGCGAGUGCAUUUGUAGCUGAGCCAGCUCUAAUAAUAAUAAUUAGUGUUGAGAAGCACAGAACAGCCUGUGAUUAGCAAAAUAAUUAUUGCAGAGUAUAUAAAUUGAGAGGUGGGGUUUUGACAAGGCAAGAGGACUGCACACUGCAGCUUCCUGGGGCAGCAGUGGGCUCCUGUCUUCCUGUUGAUGUUCUCCCUGUAAAGUUGGGUGCAGGAACUGUGCAGAGCAAAACAUGUUUGUAAAAUGAUGAUUGCUUUUGAGUUUUUCCAGUAAAUUCUGGUGAUGAAAGAACAGCCAAAAAAACUUGUAAAAAGGAGUUUUACAGCAUGCUAGGCUCCCUGGGGUAUUUUUUUUUUAAUUUGGAUGCAAUUAUUGGAUAUUAUUUCUUUGCUUGCUGGGAGGCCAAACUUUGACUAUCUGUUGGCUCUGUAACCUAAAACAUAGCCUAGGUUCUGUAACCUAAAACAUAGCCUAGGAACCCUUCCAGAACUUCUCCUUCAUGGGUUCUUGUUCAGAUCCUGGUCAGUGGGAUGGAGAAAAUGUCUCUAUUACAGGAGUCUGCUCUGACAUGUAUGAAGACAAGUUUUCGGCUCAUAGCUGGUGACUUGUUGCCUUAAAAUCUAAUCUGUCCUGCUGCCUAAGAGUGAGCAGAGCAUUUUACACAGAGCUUUCCCCUCUAUGCUUGGUCAGCAAGGGCAGAGUUUCUCUGGGGCAGCUGCUGCCAGAGCUGCUGGCACAGAGCAGGUUGGGAGGUGCCACAGGGCACACACAGUUGCCAUGGGCCAUCACUGGUGCAAAGCUUCAGGGUAGAGCUCACCCCAAAGGCAGACCCAGCAUCAGGGGCUGUUGGAACUGAUCUAGCCCAAAAAAACCCACCAAGUCUUGGGAGAUGCUUCCUGAGGAUGGUGGCAGGACAGGCAUCCCCAGACAACUGAUCUGUGGAUGGACCCCUGCCUGGGUGCCGCUCCCUAUGUACCCUCCCUUUUUGUAACAUAAUCUGUCUGCAAAUAAAUAUUGUCCCAAUGGAAACAAGUCUCUAAACAAAAGAGACUUAAUUUUGGCUAAAAUGAAUAGGGGGUACUUUUAUGUCAGUCUAAGGGAAGCCAGAUGAAUCUCUUCCAGACUGCCUUAAGUGUUUGCAUCGGACUUGUACAAAUAGGGCUUCCCCCAUGAUGCUUGCUACUGUAAUAGACACAUAAUAAUAAUCUUUAAAUAGUGCCUUAGUUAGGUUUGUUUUACUUGAGACAAGCAGGUGGAGUGCAUCCUUUGAUCCUUCCCAUCCUUUGUUUGUUGUGAUCUUGAGGUUUUUUUUCCUGUAUAUUUUUCCACAAUGAUCAGAAGGACAUGUGUGUCCGUGCACAUAUGUGUUUGUAUGAAUACACAUGCCACAUAUUCACACACACUUACCUUAAGCUCUUUUUCUGUAUUAUAAAAUACAUAGCUGCUUUUUCCCAUGUGUCAGAGACAGCUGGUAUUGCCUGCAUCCAACCAAACAAGCCACUGAGUUCAUACCACCAUGUAAAGUUCAGGAAACCCAGUGAACGUUUUUCUAAUAAGAGGAUAUUCUGGCCCUCUUGAUAAUCAGCCCUCCAUUGUAAAGUCAUUUUGAGUCAGAGGUUUAAAUCUUUGUUCCAGUGGAAAAGAUUUUUAUGGGCAGCACAAACAGGCAUUACAUUCUGGGUAUUUUUUUAGCAUAGUUGCUUAAAAUAGCACAGAUUCUGAAUCCAAGGGAAGAGAGAAAAGUUGAAACAAUAGAAAUCAUGGUCUGGUGGCACAAACCUCGCCCCACCCCAGCCCCUGAUAGAAAUUUGGCAGUGGCAGCAGGCUGGGUUUCCUUGCCAUGAGACACUGAAUCACAUGCUGGUGGUUGCUUUGGGUUUCUGUCUCUACUGGUGGUCAUCCUGCUUUCAUUUUGAGGAUGUCAUAAUAUGGCUUUGGAAGUCAAAAGUAUGCCAGUUUUAUGCAGAUCUAUUCUCCUGCUUCUUGCAUCCCUCUUGUAUUUGCAGGCAAAAGGCUUUUCUGGCAAAUGGGCAUUUUGGAAACAUGUUGUCCCCAUGAUAUUGAGUUUUGACCCCUUUUCCUUUCCCUUCUUUCAUACUGUGUGUAGGACAUCCCCAAAUGAGGCCAGUUCCUCCCACCAGUGCUUCACAACCAAUUCAUUGUCUUUGUUUUCAGUGGCUGGGGUUGCCAUGGCAGCAGCAGCCCUUGGGAUAAUGAUUUUGUCAUGGCAGAGAAACGGAGUCCACACCUCGGGGAAGGUGUGACUUGUGUGUUGAUGAGGUGGCAGAUGGCUCAGAGGAGACAGUACCCAGGUCAAGGUGAGCUGGGAAAUCUCUCUGGAUUUUCCUGUGCGGUAGAGGAUGCUCCUGGGCAUGCGGUGGGUUUUGCCAGCAGCAUUGCAGCGAUGGAGCUCAAAGCUCUUAAAUCUUCUUUUGCUCUUCAUUCCUGAGCAGUCUGGUACUGAAUGGUGGCCAUGCAUCAUUUUCUGCUUCCCCUUCUCAUCAGAUGCUGGUGCUGGUGCUGAUGCAGCAGCUGGGUACACUCAGAUGUGGCAUCACCCUUGCACCUGCUGUGCUGCAAGUGAUGGAUGUGCUGCCUCCAGAGCAGCCUCUUCCUUAUCCUUGCAGAUCCUUGGUGGAACCCUCUCCUGGCAGGUGGGAAGGGCUCUCUCCUCUUAUCUGCCCCCAGCUAUCUCGGUGCAUACCUCUGCUGUAAGCACUUCACCUGAGCAAACAAGAACAGCACUUUGAUUGCUGCUUUAUCACACGGGAAUGGCAGCCGUGGUGCAAAGAGCUUUUACACCCAGCAGGGGCUCAGAUUGACAGUCCUCAGUCCCGGGCACUUCUUUUGUUCUCCUGACCCUGAUACUGAAGCAUCUUUCCAAAAUUAAAAUGUGACAGCAAUCUUACUGUUUUCCCUAAAACAGUCCCUGAGGAUGGGGAGGUUACCAUCUGGAGCUGACGCAUUUAUUAUUGAUGAUGCCUUUAAAUGAUUAAACUAAUUUUCCUUGCAUUAUUUAGGGAAAUUAUGAUAUUCAUCAUUAAUGAAAGAUGUCUGGGGAAAUGUGUGAUUCAGAGCUGCAAAUACCUUCUCUCCUCCUUUUGUCACUUGCUGCCUGUCUUCUCCCAGCUCUUGUUUGACAUUUUGGAGUCAAUGUUUGUCCUUCUGUCAGUACCUCCUGCUGCUUUCCCCCUUGAUAAAGGUGACUCGUGGUUGCAUAAGGGUGAGGUGACUUUUAUUCCAGACAGGUGACUUAAUUUUCAGUGUCACCAGGGCUUACAUAAGGGGUGUAAUAAUCUGGAUAAGGAAAUGAGGUUUAGAAACUCUAAAGCACAUUUAAGAGCUCUUUCUAGCAAAUGUUAUUCAUAGUUGUGUUUUAUAAAGAACUUUAUAAAUUACUGUCAAGGGUAACUGAAAGCAUGAACAACCCUGGCAUUAGUUAUGCUUAUCUCCCUGCAAUACGAUGCAGUAUUAUAGCUGGGGUUUAUUGCAAAAUGAGGCAUUGUUAACAGAUAAUGUGGCUGUGCCAGGGUAGAUUUUCCUCUGCAGAAUAUGGGAGUCCCUUUGCACCAAUUAGUUUUACUAGAUCCUUUGCACACAGCAGAAAUACUGUUUACAGGGUGUGAUUUUAAACAUGAAAGUGUAGUUUUUAGCUUACUUGCUGUCCCACAGGACAUCAACAUCCAUCAGUGAAGCAUGGGUUGACCUCCAUAUAGUAAAUUCAGUCUUCAAAGGCAGUUGUCUUCAGUUAUUAAUCUAAAAGCUAUUUUUAAAGGAAGAGGGUAUUUAGAUGGAAUCUCAGUUGUUGAUAUUCAGUCUUUUAGCUGAAACUGUAUGUCUGCCUCAUACAGAGCAGUCCUAAGAGGUGAGGUAGACAGGAGGGAGGAAUGUGAGCUCCAGGCUAGGGAGGUGAGAAGCUCAGCUUCGAAGGGGUUUGUGGAAAGGUUGAAAACUACACUGGGAGUCAGUGCUUUCCUCUAGAGCAAGCAGAACAGAAAUAGCCUUAAGCAAAAAGAAGAAAAAAAAUUAGGUAAGAGGUUCCACCUCUUCUUCAUGCUUCUUCCUGCCUUUACUAAUCUUUAUUUCUGGUUCUCAGACUUAAAAUCAUUCCUGUAGGAGCCUGGAAAAGGGUUCAUGCUUUUGUAACUUCUCCCCAUACAACUCUAUAAGGGAAAACAAUUUCUUUGCUACUUUUUCACUGUGUUCCAUUCAUGUGAGAGGCAAGAGAAGGUAAGAGGUGCUUCUCACCUGAUAUCUCAAGCUUGAGUGCCCCUAUGGUAUCUUCAUGGUGUGAGUGCAGGUAGCACAAGCAGGGACCUCACAGGGGUGUGGCAGCCUGGGAAUGCAGUGAUUUUGGAGUAGACCUGGAUGAAGGUCUCUCAGCAUUUUCUGUGCUCUGUGUUUUGUAGUCCUCAUCCUUUGGACAGGCAGCUGAACCCCAAAGCACUUGGUUAUGCAGGGCACUGUGGUGGUGCUGGAGCCCCGCUCCCUGGCUUUCCCUGCCAAUCCGUUCAAGUCCAAGAACAUAAGGAUUUAUUGUUUUUCUUAUUCCACCUAAUCUCUGUACAGAGGCUCUGUUUAAUAUCUUACCCUUGUUUGAAAUGUGGAAUUCAUCUGCUGCUAUUAUUAUCCCAACACAGAGGGGCCACAAAACUCUUCUGGUUCAGCCUAGCCCAGAUCACUUUGUGCUGCGGCUCAGGGCAGAGGGAUGGGACUGCCCUGGCUACAUCCUCUGCAAAAUAAUGUUUUUCCCCUUAUUCUGCAGCUACAGAGCCUGUUCUUCUAGAAAUUGUGAGUAAGGUGGGAGGGUGCGCAGGUUGCUCUUGGGGGCCUUGUUACCUGAGGAAUCUUUCAUCACCAGUCAUGCAGAAAGUGCAGAGGAGAUAUAAAGUAGUUUUCCUAGCCAGAAACCUCACAUGUAGCCCCACCUUGCUUUUGGAUUUCUUCCCAGCAAACUCUAACCCAUCCCAGGAGCUAAACUGGGUCAUUUCCAGACUCUUCUUGUAAUCUUGUUACCUUCUUGUGACAGACAAAUGACUGCCACAUCUCUAAAGUCACAGCCCUGCACCUCCUGGAAAGCACCUGGCAGCCAGCUGUCCCCUGUGCCAUGGAUAUCAUCACAUUUAUCCCCCUUGGGCUGUGUCUGUGCUGCAGCUGGUCAUGGGGCUGUGCUGGCUUUGCCAGUGCUGAGCAUUGUCACAGGCACGUGGUCCCGGGGUGCAGCACUCCCUCCCUCCCUCCAACCCCUGCUCUGAUGGGGCAGGAAGGGAAAAAUCCCCUGAAUUCUUCACCACUGACUGCAAAGGGCAAUUGUUUAAUGAGAUUUUGGGCAGAGGGAGCCCAAAAAGGUUAGGCUGGUCUGAAUCUGGGCCAUGAGGCUGCACCAGAUGAGUCACGGGGAGAGGAAUAAAAAAAAUCUCUGAGUCAUAAUCCCUAAUACUACAGAGCAGAUUUGCUUUGGGUUGUUUUCGUGUUCCUAUGUGCUGACUAAUGUGCAGAGAAGCAGUGAGAGCCCUUUCUCUGAUCUUUCACCCAUAAAGAAUGCAGCCCCAUGUCCCCCUCCUUGUCCAUGACUUACCCAAGCCUGGAGUCCCAUUGCUUCCCAGACAGCUGAGCAGGACUCACCCUCCUCAAAACCCCCCAAAUUCCAGUGGCAGCAGGGUGGGCUUUGGUACUUGCCCAGCUGAGGGGACAUGCCAGGGCAGGACCACGUGCCAGUACCUGUUUGUGCCCCUGCAGCUCUGCCACCACUGGCAGCAGAGGGACAACCUUGAAGUGCCCCAUCUUGCAAUGGGCACCUGCUCUUUAAAAAUCUCCAAGUGAUUUAUGAAGGGGGUUCAGCGUGGUGGCAGCCACCCAGCACCUACAGCUGAGUGAUGAAAACACACUGAAGUGAAAUGAACUAGCUGCCGUCUCCCUGGGGAUAUUCCUACAGCACCUGUACCUGAGUCUAACAUACCAAGAAAUUUGAAAUUGAUGUAUUUUUAGAGGACAUGUCAAUUUUGCCUUUUUAUUCUGUCACCUAGCUCUCACUGUACUUUCAGAUUCAGAUGGCACCACAAUUCCUCCUGUCUUAAUUUUUAUUAGAUCUCCCCAAAAGACAUGUAUAAAAUCAAUAUUUAUUUAAUAAAAUACACCUGCCCCUAGCCCUUUUCUGCACUAUAUUGGGGCCAGGGAUAGAGUAUUAAACCAAGUCCCUGGGACUGGUCUUGUCAGCAGUGGCAGCAGCAUUAAGAGGCAUCAGACAUCCCCAAAAAUGUGGUUGAGAGGCUGCAGGAGAUCAGGUUAUGGGUAACAGAGUGGGCUCCCCCAAGAAAGGGCAGCUUCCUCCUGGGGUGCCAAGUUUUGGCUGUCUUGUUAUUCUAACUGAUUAAGUUAAUUUCCUGGAUGUGGAAACUGAUUGACAUUUUUAAUGUUAUAUUACUGAUAUAAACUGCUGGUUUAGAGUCUGUAUGAUUUAAAAAAUAUUUUUAAUAUUUUCUUUGCUUAAAGAGUGUAGAAUUGAAAACUGCAUGCACAGCUGUACUUGCUCACACACAGAAAAGUGGUGUGAGAAAUUGUAAUUUCGGUGAGCAAAGUUGUCUGUUGGAAGAUGAGGCUGUUCUUUUUCCUUACAAUGUCCUUAAUCAAUUUUUCAUUAUCACAGGUAUUGGUGAUAGGGUAAAUGCUCCUCCCCAGACAAGAGCUGGUAGCAUCCUCAUCCAGGAGUGGCAGCUGAGAGCUCCUAGUGCUGGAUCUGAGUUCCACUUCCCUUGGGUUUUGUACACCUUAAACUGCUCAGACAGUGACACUCUGCACUGUGUAGUUCCUAUAUUGUUUUGUUUGAGUUUUAUUCCUCCUCUGUAAGGUUAUAUUUUGUUUCCCUGAUUGUAUUUGCAGCCUCUGCAGGAAAAGAGGAGGCAGCAUUUUGGAGGGCAGUGCAUGAUUGGGUGAUGCAGAUAUCACUUAUGGGAGGUUAUAUUAUCCACUCCCUUGUUGCUGGGUACCACCCUUCUGCUGUGCAGCCCAAAGCAGGAAAAAAAAAUUUUUUCAGCAAGAAAAAAACCCCUUUUUUCUGUUUUUUCUUCCCCACUGCCUCCUUAGUACUCCUUCCAAAUGGAUUGCAUUUCCUCAUCAGAACUACAGAAGUUGUGGCUGUGGGUGUAUUCUGAACUUUAUUUUAAUUUAUUUUGCAUCAUUUCACAGGCUCCUGGGACAUCCUAAGUAUGGGUCAAGCCAAGGCAAACAUGAGAUGCCUUGGUUGCUUGUGUGUAGAAAGGAUCUGGUAUGCCUUUGGGUGUGAGGAUAGGGAAUUUGCAAGUCUCUGGAUACGGAUUAUUUUUUUUCUUCUGUUGUGCUUAUGAGUUUUAUGGUUGGAAGGAAGUCUUUGUGUAUUAAAAUGAAAUUUUUAUUUUUUAAAUACUACAGCACUUCUGUAUAUGCAAAGUCUUCACUGACUCGGUAUUUAAUUCUUUAUCUUUCUUAGCCACAUUACAUGUUGUGAUGCAGAUGUUGGAGUAAGUGCUCUUACACUGCUUUGCUGACCUAGAAUGCAGACAGACGUUUUCCAAACCAAAUCCAGCACUUUACCACAGGCUCAUGCCCCCAGCCUGUCUCGUUGGUGCCUUGGGUUGCAGCCUCAGCAUGCUUUGCCUGCUGUGACCUGUGAUGCUGUGAUGGUAGCAACCCCUGCCUUAUGAGCAGGCAGGGAGGGUGAUAAUCUUUUAAAUAAAUAUCCAUCCAGCUGAGCCUGGUCAGGGGUCUGAAAUGGGAAGUGGAUUCCCUUUGCAAACAUUCCCAUCCUUUAUACAAAAUCUAAAUGAAAUGGGGAUACUAAUUAAAUUCAUGCCCUCCUGGCAUGUCGAAGGGCAAAGAGGAGUGUGUUAAAGCAGGUGACACAAUCCCAGCUGCUUUACUGGAGGAGGGAACACAUCACUGCUGCUGGCUUUGAUAGAAUGAGGACAAACCUCUCUAAGAUGCUGAUGUUUCUGCUUUGUCUUCUAUUUGCAUAUUUCCUGUGCUUUCACAGGGCUCCUUGCUUGGAAGUGGUUAUCCAAGCACUAAGUAAUCCUCAGCACUGUGGAGCUGUCAUUGGCUGUAAUUUCUUGUCUUGAAGGGUGUAAGGGCCUCCUGGUAGAUGAGAUUUUGUUGAAGGUGAAACUUCUCCAAGAGAUUGGACAACCUCCACCUGGGACAGCCCAGCCAUGCACAGCAAGUCCUGUCUAAACUCAGCCUCCAGAGUAAAUUUGGGUGCUAUCUGAAUGUGAAUUAAAAGCAGAACUCCUGGUUAUUCCUGACCAGCUGCAGCUGGAGCAUUUUAGGGGAUGGUAUCCUGUGGUUUAUUGUAAUGGGGCGGCUUGAGGUUUGUCUCCAGCUGGUUGCCCCUGAGCUUCCUGCAGGCUGGAGCACCUGUGCUCAGGUUUUCCCCUAUGUCCUCAGUGCCAAUGAGACAUUUCAGCUUAGGUGGAGGCAGUGCUGCAGCUGUUCCUGUGUACAGACAGGCUUUCCCCUCGGCUGAAAGCAUGAAGGCAAAACUGGGGUCCCAAAUUUUUUGGGGAGCCUAAUGCACCUGUCAGCAGAUGUGCAUGGAGAGACCUCCCUGCUUUGGAGGGAGCUGGGGCUGCCCUGGCUGAUACAAACCUGCUGGUCUCAUGAACACCCUUGCAGCUCCCAGCCAAGCUUUACGUUAGAAGGCACUGGAAUACAAGAAAUGAAUCCAUUCCUGUGUCCUGGUGGCUGUAUCAGAGCCACUGGGGUGUCCAGGAGGAAAUGGUGUCACAUGUUGGCAAGGCAGCAGCUGCAUUUGCUGGCUUAGCUGAGAUCUGGUCAUUGAAAAUCUGCAGCUGAAAGGCUGAACUAUGAAUCUUGGACUUGAAAGUAAUUUUUAUCUAAACACAGGGAUUUGAAAGCUGGAAACCUAUCAAAGGUACAGGCAAAGUAUCUGAGUACUUUUGAAAACAAAUGGCUUAGAAGAACACAGUGCAGUAAUCUCCAAAGACAGCCCAAAUAAAUGCUGGAAGUAUUUAGGGAAUAAGGAGCUAGAGUGUCUGGUGUAGCAGAGGGACUUCAGAGCAGUGGGCUAGAGAUGCACUGGAAGGUGGUAGGGACAGCAUCUCUCUAUAUACAUUGAGAAGAUACUGGAUUUAUUGCAGCAUGCAUCUGAAGGGCUUUCAGGAGUGGAUGGGGCAAUGGAGCCUUGCUUGUGGUGACCAAAAUAACAAAAAUCAGUGGAAAGCUCUGGGAGUUCUUGUCCUUGGAGGAGUGGGGUUGUGAUGCUGCAUGGAUCAUGAAGGUCUCUUCCUUAGCCUCAUGAGCAGCCAAGGCAUAUAAUCUCAUUAACAAAUUUAUCAAGCUGCAUUUUAAGAUUGAUUGGGCUGCCUGCCCUGUAACUGCUGAAAGGCAUCCAGAGCUUGGAAGGAGCAGGGACCUUUGUGCUGCAGCCUGAAGUCAUUCACAGGCAGCUGAUGCUGAUUUGUUCUUGUGUCAGUGCUGUCCUUAGCUUAAAUCCCUGUUUCCAUGAUGCAGACAGCAUACCUCAUACCUUUACAAACCCCCUGAGCUGCACAGGUCUGACACAGGCAGCUCACUCAAUCUGUCCUCUCCUCUAAGAAGGUUUUGUCAUUCCCCUCCUGCUUCUAACAGCUGGGUCCUCUACCAGGCUCUGUUCAAACACAUCCUGCUUGGACAUGAGCUCCCAGGGGGAACGUAGCACCUUGGAGCCAAGGUCUGCUGCUCCUGCUGGGGCAGCCUGACAUCUUUAGGUCUCCCAGAAAUACUUUGUCCUCCAGCUGCCAGCAGAGCCUCAUUGCCCUUGAAACCCUGUGUGCUGACGUACCUGUUCACCUGCACUCACCUGCAGAGAGAGUUAGAAUUUCUAGUGAGACCAGCCUUAGCUAAAAUCAACCUUCACCCAGCUCUGGUACUAAGCCCCAAGCUUGGUGGCUGUGGGAGAGGCAGUACUUAAACUGACCAACAAUGAAAACUGUUUGAUUUUCAUGAUUUUGUCUUCUUUAGCAGGAUUGUUCAUCAAUGUCAUAGAAUCCUAGAAUGGUUUGGGUUGGAAGAGACCUGUAAAGGUCGUCCUGUGAAGUCCAACCCCCUUGCUGUGGGCAGGGACAUCUUCAACUCUUAUCAAGCUGCUGAAAGCCCCAUCCAGCCUGGCCUUGAAUGUUUCCAGGGAUAGGGUAUCCACAAUUUCUCUGGGCAACUUUUUCUAGUGCUUCAAAACUUCUGGGGAACCUGUUCCAGUGUUAAGCAUCUUCAUUCUAAAAAACUUCUUCUUUUAAUCUAUAUCAACCCUCUUUCAUGUUAAAACCAUUGUUCUAUCACAACAGGCCUUGCAAAAAAGUUUGUCCCCAAAAGGAAUCAUAAGCGGUAUAAAAUCCCCAAUACAUGUUAUACAAAGUACAUAUAAUAUAAAAGCUUAUUUAUUUAUGAUGGAACUCUUCUCUGUGAUGACUAAGAAGAUGCAGUUGUAAUUCCAUGACGGUUUUGUUCGUAAUAGACUUUCUGCUCCUUAGCUGAAAUUUUUGCUUCAAAUUUUCUGCAGAUUUUGAGUGCUUCAGUUCUUUGUUUAAACUAAUUGCGUCUUCUUAAAUGGGGGUCACGGGGGUUGGAGUGAAACACCAAAGCUUUUAGGCAGUGUCAUGGUUCACUUGGCUUUCCAGGGUGCUCCUCAGCGCUGGGGGUUUAUUGCAGCUCCAGCUCUAAUGCACUCAAGUCAGGACUAGACCCUGCUGUGGAGGGUGAGAGAAGCUUUUUGCAGUGGUGCAGUUUGCAGUAGCCAUUACUCUGUUAUAGAUAAGGGGUGUAUCUGUCCAGUUGUACUUGUGGUGACUAUAGUUUGAGGCCCAUCACACUGGCUGGCCCUGAGGAUUGAACUGUCAGUGCAGAGCAGAUGCUGACAGGGGCCCUUGCUUUCCAUGCUUCAUUUCAUCUGUGUGGAAGGAAAGGGGAAGCAAAAAAGGAAAAGCCAGCAAAAACAAAAGCAGAAUUUCUGCUGCAGCUGUUUGAAACAAUGAAUGAACCAUGAUGUGAUGUUGUGGGUAUUUGUUUCAUUUUUCACCUCAUUUCCUCAUCUAACUUUUAUUGUCUCUCAGUCUUGGAGGUGGGAAGGUCCACUGUCAAGACCUGAUGCCUUGUCCUGAAUCCAGACAUCCCAUUACCCCAUUAGCUAGAGUGGUGGAGCAAAACCACAAGAAUAGAGAUAUCUUAGAAAAAAAUAUGCCUAUAUAUCUAUCCGGAAGUAAGUGGUUGGUUUAAGCACUGGCCUCAUGGUACAGUGGACCUCUGGAGGCUGUAGCAGGUGAUCUCCCGGUGAUGCAACCCCUGUGGUAGAUGUUGUCACCUCUGUCAGCUGCUUGCCCUGCAUCCUGGAGGCUGCUGUGCUUGCCAUGGGUGGCAGAAGGGGAGCUGUGUCAGCUUCUCAGCUGCUACCAGUCAAAGCUGAGGAAUUAGUUUAAACUGUUGAUUUAAUUAAGCUGGAGAACUCAGCAAAUAGUUUGUGCAUGCCAGUAAUGGGUGCCAGCAGGAGUGUCCUCUCACUCCUGCCAACCGCGCGCUCUGCUCUUCAGAAUAUCUGAGAACCGGAUGCUGACUAAGGGUGGUGGUUGGGUUUGAUCCCCUCCGGUGAUUUUUCUUUCAUCAUGUUUAAAAAAAACAUCCCUUUCACUGGGAGGCUCAUCACAUGGUCUUUGAAGAGUUCACAUUCUUCAGAGUUAUUCCUAGUGAAUUUAGAUGGGCAGAGCUGUGAUCUUUAGGUAUUGUGCCUGAUGUGCCUCAAGCCAUCCUAAUGAAAAGGACAUUAGUGUAAAGGAACCACUUAAAAUAGUAUACAAUAAACUAUCACAGACUUCUGGGCUUCCUGCUUGAGGGCUUGGAUUUAGAAGGCAAUUUCACAGAGGUCCCUUUCUUAGGGCAUGUGGAGAAGGAGAGUGGCAGGAAAUGGUGGCAUUAAGGCAGUUGAGGAUCACAGAUUCUCUCAUCCCCCAGUACCCCACAAAUGGGGCUGUUUGUAGCCCUUUAUUAUGCUGUGUUAGGGUCUGGAGAGAACAGACUCCUUUCAUCCUUCCCAUCACUGUGUGGUCUUCAAUGAUUUUACGCUGUUGUGAGUGUUCAUGAGAAGACAGGGAGAUUGGAUGACCUCAUAUCAUAUUGGGUGCAUUGAUACACAUCUCUAUGAAUCGAACUGCUUCAGCUCAAGGAAAAUCAUCAAUUUCCCUUGGUUUCAGGUCCUUACUAGUGGUGUUUCUGUUGCAUGAACUGCAUGGGGCGGCAUGUGGCAGCUGUGCGUGUUUCCAAAUGUAGCUGAGAAUAGUUAGACCUCUUGAAAUAAAGUUAAAGUGUUCUCAGAGCUGAUGCAGAUACCUAGCUUUCUGUUCGCAUCCAGCUUGAGUAGCCGGGUAGGCUGAGGUUGGCAGCUGUGAGGAAAUGCAGCCUUGAGAGGGUGAGUUCCUACACAGAUUUGCCCUGUGUCAGGGAGAGCAACAGCUACCAGUUAAAUGGGCUUUGUUAGCUCAAGGCCAGAACUUUGGUAUGGCUCUGGAAAGAGCAGGCUGGCUUUGGCAGGUUUGGAUAUCAACAUGAUGCAUUUCCUGGUGGUAGGUGGUGGGAAAGCCCACGUCUGCUGUGAAAAGAACACUCUUUCCUUGGAAAAGUGUUUACUGAGAUAGCGAUGAUGGACAAGUCUCUCGUGAUAAACGUGACUUCACAGAUCGUGUUUUCAGCCUCAUGGAAAAAAUAGAAAAGGUAUCUAACACAGGUCUGGAGGUUUGAAGGUAAUGUGUUCUAAAAAUAAAUAUUAAGAAUUAUUCUUGAUCUUGGGCCAGGUGGUUUCAAGAUCAAAAUCAAGGCCAAGGCACUUCAGGUUAGGUUUUCAGGUCAUUUUUAUUGGCUUUGUUAAUUCAUGCUGCUUAUGAGGUAGGAAAAAAUGGGUACUCUCUAGAAGGAUCUUGCCACUUUCUUCCUGAAAAAAUGCUCAUAAGGUUUUCUGACUUUUCUGCCAGAUGCACCAGUCUGCUUUGAUAUACCAGUUUAUUCAUUGGGAAAAACUAGUUUUUGGUGCUUUUUGUGUAAUCAAGAGUCUUGUGACAUUGUUUUGGUGUGGUGACAUACAUAUAAUGACAGUACGUGAUUGAAUUUAAAAGGCUGUAGGAGGACUUUAAAAGACAGAUAGCAAAAUAUAUAAAGAAAUUAGAAAUUGCCAUUAAUGUGACCCCAGAUAGGCAAACCAAAAAUGUAGCAAAUAAAUAGCUGGAAUCAUUUCUUCCUGGGUUUUCUGACAUCUUAAUGGCUAGCUCCAGCACUUUGGAUAGCUUGGAAUUCCAUCCUGCUGGAUGGCAGAGCUGCAGUGAGCACAUCAGCUGGAGCCACCUUGGCCCUGGGGAGGAUGUGGAAGAGACCAAAACCUGGUUAUGACCAGGCCUGCACAUCCUGAUCCAGUACAAGAGGCAGUGAGAGCAUUUUGAUGGAACCAAGAUCAGAUUUGGCUCUAAACAUUCUCUUGAUGGUGGCUUCUGGUGCGUGCCUCUGAGGCUGAUGAUUUCUGAUGUUUCCUCUCUGAAUUUCCCAGUAUUUUGUUGCUGGCUCUCAGGUCCUGAGUCUGUCAAGCUUUGCUCCCAUGCUGGAGAGCCAGAGAAUUGGAGCUGAGAAAACCACUGGAGCUUUCUGACGUGCUGGUGCUGUUCCCUGGUGCCCCUUUUUGGGAAGGGAACAUCAGUCCCCUGCCUGAGACAGCUGGGCUUUUGCUUCCCCCAACAUGGAGCCAGCCUAUGGAGGGGUUGAUGGGGCUGAGCACUUCAGGAGCCACCAGGGAUAGGAAGAAGUUCUUUUUUGCUAGGAGAACCUGUUCUGAUCCCCCUAUCACUGGGGAUGGCUUUGGGCAUGGGGUCCCCCUCUCCUUAGCUUACUGUCCCAGAAGGACAUAACUCUGAUCCUGGGACCAGCUGGAGCAAGCAGCCAUGGCAGGGUUUGUUUUCCCAAGAUAAUCUCCUAUCGGGAACGCGACUCGGCAGAUGUAGGUGAAAGGUGAUGCUGGCACUGCCCAGGUUGGCUGCCACUCUCCAGGCUGAGUCCUCAGCUUUUUAUAUCCUUGCUGCAUCACACUGCAGCUGCUACCCUCCUCCCUGUGCUGAGGAUCAGCAGGCAGGGGAUCUGAGCACCGUGUCAGCUGCAGGAGCAGUGCCAUACACCGCAGUGUUACCACAGGGUUGCAUCAGCCACAGACGUGUCUGACCUGAUAGCCCGACUCACAAAUAACCAGUGUUGGGUCAGAGGAGGGCAGGAGUGUCAUCUUCUUGAGAGAAAAAAAAAUUAAUCUCCUAUAACAUUUUAAUUAUUGUUGCUGUUUUUUAACCCUGAAUCAUGAAGUUUACUUGUCAGUAUGCCACUUCCUAUUAUGCUCUUGAUGCGUUUCUUAUGAUACUUUUGAUGUGUUUCAGUGCCCUCUCCUUCCUCCUUUUCUUCUUCUCUAACCUUGGAGCUUCUUUACCAACUAUAUUCUGCAUUCUGGUUAUCUGCUGUGAGUACCAGCUCUGCACUUGCCAUCCUAGGUAAAUGGGAAAGGGGUCUGGAAAGGGCACUGGUUUCUGCUGCAGCAUCAUCCCCUGGAGAAUUGAAUUCAGUCUAGGAAGCAGACUGGCGAAGAGGAUGUCUUAAUGAGCAGUCUUCAGAAAGAAGUUAUUUCAGGUAUUUCAGCCAAAUAGCUCUGAGGACUUACAAACUGGGGCUAACAGUACCUUCACUUACACAAAGAUAGUGUCACUCUCAACAAUCUCUCUCCAUUCUUUGUGAUAAAAGAUGGACAUGAAAUCAAAUCUUCUGUCUCUGGAGCAGAUCAUGCCCAUGACAGAGAAAUCCUGACUCUGUUGGAGGGAGAGGCAGAAGUGGCACUGUUUGCUCCCAGCGAGGGUAAGUCAGAUGCUUAAGUAAGGCUGGGCUUCUCCCAAGCAGCUCUUGGGAAGGAGAGACAUAAGCUGAGGCAGCAGCUUCUCACAUGGGUGCAGUGACAGGUGGAUCUGCUGUUGGUGUUUAGGGUUUGCACAGCAGGGAGGAGACAUCCUUGACUUCACCUCUGGGUUUGGUAGACUUUUCGGUGGGCCUUCCUUCUGCAGGGAGGCUGUGUGGAGGGAGGCUUUGGCUGAGUCUUGGCGGUGGAGCCAUGGAAUUGGUGUACAGUCACUGCUGCAGGACCAGUUGUACAGGCUCCAGGUUUUCCCUCUGUAUUUAGUGAGUUCAAGCUGAUAUUUAAAUAGCUUCAUCGGACCCUAGGUUGUUUUUUUUUUUUUUUCUGAGCAGUCAAAGAGCACUCACCUGCAUUGCUGCCUUUGGAGGGGCAGCAGUGCUGCCAUCAAUGGGGCUGUGGCAGAGCAGAGAGCACAGAAGUGCCAAACCUGGGGGUGUGUGGAUGGAGAGCCCGGCACCCUCCAGGGCAGCAGCAUCAUCCCUGCAAAAGAGAAGAGGCCUUUUGGGCUUAAAGCAUUGGUGAAUAUGACUCUGAGCAACCUGAUGGAGUUGAAGAUGUCCCUGCUCCUUGGGGGGUUACAUUAGUUGACCUUUAAAGGUCCCUUCCAACCCAAACCAUUCAUUGAAUCUCUAAUUCUCUGACUGUAAGUUCUCCUGAGUCUCACAGGCUUUGUAUGUAAAUACACUAUUUAACUGCAUUCCCUAUAGUGAGUGGUAUGUGGCUAGGAAUUCCUUUGAUGCCUUUAGAUGCUAAUGUAGUGAUAAAACAAUCCCUUCUUUUUCCCUUGUUUUUCUCACAGCAUGUAAGCUCUUCAGAAAAUCAUGUCAUUAAGUAUUUAAGAGCCUAGAAGUGAUUAAAAUAAAAAUAUUGUUAGCAAUAAAUGAGUGAGAAGAUGUGCAAUACUUUGUCAGUCAUGGAAUAAAAAUUUAGAAAUAUUCAGGAUACAGGAAGGCAAGUUGAAUUUGUGAGCACAUUCAGGCAUCAACAUAAUGGCGAUUAUUUUAUAUAAUUAUAUAAAAAUUAUUUUAUAUAAUAAUAUAUAGCCUCCAUCCUAGGGAAGUUAUCCAUCCAUGCAGCUGGGCUGGACCCUGGCUGAUGCCUUGUUUGUGUGAGGUGCAGGGUUGGUGGGAGGCAGCUCCAGGGUGAGGAGCAAACAGCUGAUUCCCUGCAGCUCUGUGCUUGUUUUGCAAAUGUGGAGAGGGCUGUACAGGAGCCAGAUGUUUUCAGAGGUCUUGUUUUUUGUGUUUCUAUUUUCUUCCUUUUGAGGUGGCUGCAAUAAUAUUCACUAAGGAUGGAGGUGAAAGCAGAGUGGUAGGAAAAGAGACUUGGUAGGACUGUUUUUGUUUAGCAGAAUGAAAACUAAAUUGGUGCAUGGUCAGGAGUCUCUGUGAGUAUAAGACAGUGAGCAAAACAUCUGUUCACAAACACAUGGGAUGGGACAGGUAGAGCUUGACUGCAGUGCCUGAUAGGAAUCCUUGCCUCAGCAGAAAAAGGAUUUACUCUUGGAUAUCAGCAGAAAAAUGAGUCCUGGCCUGUAACUUAAUAGUGUAACUCUGUGAUGCAAUAAAUAGAACAUUUCCAUGCUGAUUUAAUUAAAUCAAUGCAACAUCUAUGUUUAGAUGAAGCCAAGUCCUACACUGUUACAAAACUUUUUCUAAUAAUAGUAUUUUUUUCAUCUCAUGAAGGUACUCAUCACUGAGAUGCAUGUUAAAGCUGCCUGCAACAGCAGGGCAGGCAUUUAUUUGGAUCUGACGGCUGGAAUGAGUCAAGAUCAUUCCAUGGGCUUUGGUUUAAUGGCAAACACUUUGUUAUUAUCUACUGAAUAUUGAACAUGUGCCCUUAAUAAGAAGGACCUUUCAAAAAAGUAACAGGAAGACAGAGCCCAAUAUGCCAAAAUGUUUCUGUGCUGGUAUUCCCAGUGCUGUUUUGAAAUCUUCACCUCAGUUGCCUUUGCAGAGCCUUGUGCCAAAUCUGGAGCACGUGGGGCUUCUCCUGGGCUCCACGGGGGUGCUUGGACCUCAAGCCAAGUGUGACAGUGCACAGAGAAGUCAUUACCACUGGGCUUCUGUCCUGUUCUUGCACGAGGAGGCAGCCACCAAGGAUUCAGCUUUUAAAGGAGCCAGAUAUUAAGCUGGAAAUGCGUCAGUACUGCAAGGGGUGACUUAAGCUCAUUAAAAAAUGUCUUUUUCCUUCUUGGCCUUUAGUCCCUCACUGCUUCUCAGCAGCUUUGUGCUGAUUUGUUUUGCCCACAGUAAAUGCUCCCAGCAAGAGCUGAGUGUAGUUUCCUUUGGGUUGAGGAGUUGAGGUCCAGAGGGAUGCAGAGAAGGGCUCAGGAAUGUCCCCUUUUGGCCAGCAAAUCAAUUUGGUGUUCGUGGGGCUGGCACUGUGUUGAUCCAGUGCCACACAGAUAAAGCUUCACCAGCACUGGAGCCAUUGGCUCAGUUUUUGUCCCACCGGUGCCUUCAGAGCACCAAGCCCAUCAUCCCAACUCCACCUUUUUGGAGCUGAAGCAGGGAUGGCAUAAGUAAGGACAAUGAUGGCAUAAAUGGGGACAAUUGUGAAUCCAUUUUAAUAGAGGGAUUUCAGGAGGCUGCACUGGUGGGGGGUUGAUAAAAGCAAAUGUCAACUGCGACCAACAUGCCUGGAGUUGGUUGGUUUCAUCUUUGAAAAGUAAGGGGCUGGUGUCUUCUGUUCUGUAAUUUGUUUGGUUUUUUUUUUUUUUAAUAGCAUCCAAUUAAUCUCUCUGUUAGGCACUUUUAUAAUUUUACCACAACUCCUUUGCUCUUGGAGUGAUGUAGUCUUGUGAGAAUUUCAGCAUUUAUUUGACUACAAAGCAUGUUGUUAGCCUGCAUGGUGACAACCUAGAUCCUGAAGGCUUAAAGAAUAGAUCUGAGAUAAAGAACUGAAAAUGUAAUGAGCAGGAGGAUUAUUUUUGCAGCUGGCAUAGUGAUUUUUCUUUCCUUUCGUUGUUAGCUGGUAGCUAAUACUGUAGACUGAAAAUCAUAAACAAAAGGUAGGAAAAAGUGUCUGCAGGGUUCAGACUGAGCCCUGCUCUGGGAAGCUGGGAUGGUUCACAGUGACCAAGCCAGGUGUGGGAGCUGUGGGUCAUUUUGGCCAAGGCACAAAGCGAGUUUGCAGAAAUUCCCAGUUUUCUGUGAACUGCAGCAGUGCCCAGCAAGGGAACCUGGCACUGGGUUGUGUGUUGAUGUGCAGUGGAGCAGCUCUGGAGAUGGAGCAGCAGCUCCGUGUCAUACAUGUGAGAGCACCUUGGUGGGAUGGUGGGAGAGCCACUGGUGGCAGAGCUGCUCUGUACCUGCAUUAGGGGCCAGGGAAAAGAAAGAGGCUCUUGCCUGAGCCUGCUGGCAGGUGGGAGGUGAAAUGGUGCCCACCUCAGUGUGAGCAGUAGGAUGGAAGGGCCCUUCCUUCACCCAGGCGUGGGAACCUGGCUUUCAUCUUGAUGCACAGGUCUUGACCUCCUGUGGUAGUUGAAGCUGGUGAUAGAAAUAGUGGAUAUAAUUGAGAGCCUAUUUUAAAAAAGCAAACAAACAAAAAAAGUGCAAAAAUCCAUUCCCUCAUGCACUUGAGGAGUUACAACUUAUCUCCGCAAGAUUAGCCUUGGAACCAGCAUUUCUAAAAAACACCAGAAUGCAGAAUCUCCUGCAAGAGCAGGAAGCAUGAAGUGCUAUCCUGAAGUGCUGUCCCUUGCAUUCCUGUGCCCACUUCAGUGGAUGUGCAGGUCUGAUUUUCCCCUGAUGUACAUCUCGUGCUGUGUUUGGCAGCUGACAUCAGACUGGUCUUUUUUGUGUCUAUUACUGAGUAUCCCACGCUCUUGGAUCAAUGAGUGGUCCAGGUGGAUAUUCUCCUUCUCAAGGAGCCUGAUUGCAUCUCAGAAGGAAUGUGGUCAUUGGCUUGAGCUGCUAGUGGUUCAAGGCUGAAAUAGUCCUUCUUUGUGGACUUUGUUUCUCUGUGACCUUUCAAUUUUUCUGUGUGAGGCAAUCCAGUGUCUCUUAAGAAUCACACUCUUCAGUUCAUUGUAAAACAUCUUUUUCCAAGAGAAGGAUGUGUGGAAUGCUCAUUUCCAUAUUAGAGGUGAUUUUGAUAGCAUGAAAUAGAAUUUUGGUUUUGGUACUAUCACCGAAGUUGGGAAACAUUCAUGUCUUGAAUACUAUCUACAAAAAGGCGAGUUAAUAUUUAUCUACAGAUAGUUCCUUUAGUCUUUUUAUGUAACUGUCUACCAUUUAUCAGGAGAAUAUCUCCUCCCCCUUCUCCAUAGGGAACAUUUUCCAAAUUUUUUCUCUUAAUGUAUUGGUGUCAGUUGGUGCAGAUGGAGAGUAAGGUUAUGAAAUUUUGCUUUGAAAAUGGUCCAAGGUGACAUUAGGUGCUUAAAAUGUCAGAUUGUGUGAUAUUUGCUUAAGAUUUUGCUUUAUGUCUUCAAAAAUGGUUAAAAGAAGGGGGUUAAUUGUAAAGCAUCUUGGCAGUGCUUCAAAUUGUAGUGUCCUAGCUUGUGAUCCUCACGUGGAGUCAUUUUGUGAAGUCAAAAGAGCAUAGUCAUGACCUGCAUCUUGUGUGAGAACUCAAGUUGUAAAUAUACAGCCUUUGGUCACUUGGCUAUUGGUUCAGGUUGGUGCACAGACCCGUCCCAAGUGUGGGUGAGGAGUCCUGGAUGGGUAAGAGGGUCACAAAUUCGUGUGAUGAUACUUUCAAUGGAAUAGCUAGACUUACGCUUUAAAAUUACACUUUAUUGUGAAACUGUUACAAGAGUUCUUGGAAGCAUUUUUAUGCUGCACUUCAUGCCUUACCAAACAAUGCAUCUUUGGGCAGAGUGUAGGUUGGAAUUCCCAAUCUACCAGGCAAUGCUUCUGUGCUUGUCUUUUUUCAUCCCUCCCCUUUUCGGUGGAGUUUGCAGAAAAGAAUUGAUUUUUAGGAUGAAAAAUGGCAGGAUGAGGCAAGAUAAGUGGUUCUUGCCUCCAUCUUGUUUUCCUCAAAUAUUCAGGCUGCACGUGUCUUCACCUGGUCCCAGACUGGAGGAGCAUCUGCAGUGCCCUCCCCUCAUUAAUCAUGUCUCGGCCAUAGCUGCAUUUUCUUUAUCUGGGAGCAAACUCCAGCUCCAGGGACUGCCUGAGAUGUUGGCCAAGCUUGUGAAGCCCUCAAAAGCAGCCAAGUUACUCCAAAAACUUGGUGUUGCUGAGUGAGGAGAAAAAGGCACAGCAGCUUCUACAUUUUUUUUCCUUUGUAUUUCUUUGGGAAAUAAUUGGUUUUGUUAAUUUAUCUUUUAUAAGGACUUAAAUAUUAUGGGCACAUGAUAUAAGAGAUUGUUAACUAGUGUCCUGCCAUAAUUCCAUAAAGCAAACAAGUUCAUGUUUCUUCGCUGAUACAAAACACAAGUCCUGUUGACCCAGAACUCCAUGAUUUUGCCACUCUCACUUCUAUGUCAGAUUCAGUCUAUAGCUGUUCUAAAAUUUCAUGCCUAAGAACAGGAAGCCAAGGAGAGGUUUUUGGAGGUGGCUUGAGCUGAUUCAUCAGCUGGAUGUUAUUGCAGGGGACAGUCUGGGUUUGAUCCUGUCCUCUUCCUUCUGCCAGGCCUGGUGCUGAGCCUGCUUUGGCUCACUAAAUCAGGAGAAUUGAAAUCCCUUGUGGUAGCUGAGAUACCCAUGGCAGCAGACUGCUGCCUUUCAGGAAAUACACCUGCAGCCAUUUGCUGGAGAAUUUGUAAAAAACCAGAAAGGUUGAAUUCUUCUCUUUUUUUUCCCCUUUCUGUUCUCUGUUGAGUAACAUUGACCUUGAUAAGCCAUCUGGGUAUCUGGAGACUUCUGCAUGGAGAUGUAACAAAGCCAUUUUGGGAUGCUCACCUUGUGUUUAGGUGGGAAUUUUGGUGUUGGCAAACUGAGCACAUGCUGCUCACAGUGCCUGGUGGCAGGAGCAGCAGACAUGAAUGCCCCAAUUGCAUUCUUGCCGACUAUAAAGUUACUGCUGGAGCUUAGUGCAGUGAUCCCGAGGUUUAACAUGUCCCUUACUGCAUUUAACUCGCAUGGCUGGGUUGUAAUGAACAUGUUAGAGUGUAAAAAACCCAGCCUUUUCCAUCAAAUAAAACACAAGCACAGAAAACAUCCCUUGUUUUUUAAAAUGAGCCAUUGCACUAGGGACUCUUUAACAUUCAAAAUUUAACAGGUGAGACUCCUUCUCUCUUCCUCAUGUAUUUUUCAACUAAUGAGGAACAAGUCUUUUUACUCUAUUUGUGUGUUUAUUAAUCUUUUGGGGUCUCUCUAUUGCAGGGCACACUUUGCUCAUUGCUGGUUUCCUACAGCUCGUGUUGACAGGUUCUUGCUGCCCUUGGAGAGGAGCCGUGCUCGGGGUGCUGCUCUCGUGUUGAGGGUGAUGCCUUGUUUGCUCAGAGCUGACACGUGCUCAGCCUGUGGUGUUUUUGUAUGUGAUUGAUUCAAACCUUGUUGUGUACAAGUACUGGAGUAGUUCUUGUCAAGGGAUGGGGCAGAUGAAUGUGUUUUUCGAGUGCUGACCCAUGACUUGAAAAAUCUGGAUGGGUUUCAGGGCUUUGCUGCCAACCUACUGCAUGACCUUCAGUGACUUGCUAAGGGCAAGACCUCUACUGUUGGGGUUGGAGAACACACGGACAGUCUGCAAGGAAGACCUUCCCUCCAGUCUGAGGGGGAAGCAGCAGUGGAGUGAGCUGGAGUGAUGUUCUUUCCAGCAGGCAGUGUGCUCAGUCUUAAAAAUCUGGCACAUUUUAAGGGUAGAGUCCAGAGAACUGGAAAGUUGUCAUUUCAGACAUGGGCUGGGCACAAGGGGUUGAAUUUCAUCUGCCUCUCAAAGAGGGUAGCAAUGAGACAGCGUCUUCUCCUUACAUCAGGAGGUGGAAGGUACUGAGGUUCCUCCAUACCACAAAGGAAUAUGCUUAAAAUGAACAUUAAUAAUCUGCCAUUGGUUUAUCUGUUACAGUUGGACUAGAAAAGCCCGUAUGUUUAUAUAAAAACAUAACUUGUGCAAGAUGCUCUUCACUGAGCUCUUGCAUAGCCCCUGAGUCCUGCUGCCAUCCAGCUGGCCUUGAAGGCAGAUGAUGGGAGUGCUGUGAGAGGUGUGGUAUAUGCGAGAUGGGGGGAAAUAUAAAGAUAGAAAACAAAAAAAAAUUACGUUUUCACUUGUUGGACAGUGAGGACUGCUGGGCUCGUCUCCCAGGAGAGCUGAGCAAUGUACAUAUUGACACAUCCAUGUUGGAGCCUGGAGAAAAAGCCCUGCUCGUGCAUCAGGCACAGCACAAUGAGGGGUCUGGGUUGGUGGGACAAGCCUCAUUUAUCUGGAAACAGAGUCAUCUCAGUUUGCAUGCUCAUAUUUUACAGGUAAUUGGUUUAUGGAGAAAACAGUUAGCUCAAGGAUUUUGGGCAGGUGUUCUUGCUGUAGAGAAAUAGGCUUUACAGGCAUUUUCCAUGUCAUAAAGUUAUCAAGAGUGGCUGAGAUUGGCUGUGUAAUUAGUGGGAUGGGAGUUAUUUUGGGAGAUUCAAAUCCUUUUCCAAAAUGUUUUUAUCAGCUCAGGGACUUGGGUCAGAUCUUCUUCAGCUUCAGAUCAGUUAACUGGGAGGAAGUUAGGGAAUAUUUCAUUUCCUAACCCUCCCCAUCACUGGGAACGCACCUCAAGCAAGAACAAGGCAAUUCAGCUUUCUUUUUCAAUGAAUUAGCAGACUUCAAGUCUGCAGACUUCCACUUGUCUUGUACCGAUUUGCCCGCUGGGUUUUGUAACAACAAAAACACUUUGCAGGCACACCAGAUUUUUGUGGGUUAUGGCGUUGUCCCCACAAGCCAGCUUAGCCUGGGUUGGUGCAUCUUUCCUGCAAAGAAGGCAAUUUUGAUUGUUUUCCCAAGGGAAGAAGUAGUUUUGGUUCAAAGUAGAUUUUGUACGUGAGGUGAUAUAAACAUGAUCAAAGUCAGUGGAAUUUUAUUUCAAAUAAACAUGUGAUUCUCCUAAUCAACCCUUUAAAGAGACCAUCUGGGGAAAAAAUGUCAGGGUUUUGUACAUUUAAUUACUCACUUGAUUUUUCCCUUUUAAAUAUCUGAUGACGUUUCUGCUGUUUGAGGGUAGAUAGGACUUUAUUGACACAAUUAGCAAAACAAAUGAUUAUCACACCUUUUCCUUAGCCCUGUCCUAUUUGAUCUAUUUGCUUGCACUUUCAUUACUCCUUUGCUUGGUUACAUUACACACAAUGUUAUCGCCUUCCUGUGCUUCUGCGGCUAAAACAAAGUCAAAAAACCUUUUUUGGCUCUCAGCUGCUCUCUGCUGUUUUCUUUUUACAGAUGAACUAGAAAGCAAUGUCAGGCAAAGAGUUAUUUGAGUUUCCUUUCAGCACUUGCUGGGCAUUAUAUCCGGGCCUGGCACUUGCCUGUGUUUAUGCGACAGCUUUCAUAUUUUAAAAUAACAAACAAAAAUCCCAGCAACUCUACUCCCAGCACAAUUAGUAAGAUCAGAUUAAAAGAAUUGAAAAAACAAACAACCAAAACCCCCCAGAUCAUGAUGGGUUUGUAUACGUCAAAUGCUAGAAUCUUUAUGACUAAUUCCUUGGGUAUUUUGAGCCACUUUGCUGGGAUGUGUUUAUUUUCUCUGAAGGCAGAGGUGGGAAGCGUGGCUCUGUCUGGUCGGAGGUCACAUUGGGUUGUUGUACUGAAGGGCAGAGUGUUUCUGUUAUGUCACUGGUGGGUUGUGCCAGACUUUGCUGUGGGUUGCUGAAGGUGUCAUUCUCCUGAUGGUGGAGAGGCAUUUUCCACUGAGGUCAGGAAGGCAGAUGGUGCUGCUGGCCUGUUGCCUUUCAACCCUUUCCAUCCUUCUCUUCCCUGGAAGUGAAAAUACCUCAUUAGGUUUAGGAGGUGUGGCAAAAAGGAGAGGGGAGGAAAAACUGUUCUUUCACCUGACAAAAAGAAAAAGAAUAGUUUUGGAAAGAUCUGUUGGUUAGGUGAGAACUACUUUCAGUUGUUGGCUUGUCCUCCUCCUCCUUUCACAUUCCCUAGAACCGAUGAGGCAGCUGGAGGUGGUGCUCCAUGCUGUGUCUAUGGUCACUGUUACAUUAAUUUAAAUAAAUCGUGCAAAUUUAAAAAAAAAAACACAAAAAACCAAAAAACAACAAACCCUAAAACCUUCCUUCUGUGCAAAAAUAAAUCAAAAGAUUAAAGUUUGCAAUCCAAUUUUUUGUCCAACGUGGUAAGAACUGUUGUGUAAUGGCCUGUCCCUUUCUUCUCUCUGAAGGUCCCAACCCCAUGUGUCCCACUUGUCUGGAAUAACGUUUGGAGUCUGGCACUCUGGUCCUUUUCGUAGCUCCAGAGGAUUUUUAGGAGUAUGGGGAGCAUGGGAUGCAUGGACCUGUGGACCCACAAAACUCUCUGGAAAAUGCUGGCUGUGGAUAAAAGCAUCUGGAAGUUUCUACCAUCUUUUUCCCCUGUUUUUUCCUGGGUCACCCUGUGUCACUUGUGGCCCUGUCCUGAGGAUUACAGCAUACAGUCACUUACUGGAAUACCUCUCCAUGCAUCUUCUUGAAAUGGAGCCACUGCUUUACCCAGCUGGAAGAUAUUUUCUCUUCUCCCAGAGUUUUUCCAGUGCAGCAGCAGCACUCCUGUCCAGCAGGUCUCGAUUGACUGCAGAAAGGAGAAGGGAGGAGCGUGUCAGAGGGAGGUCAGAUCCUGCCAGGGUUUCCUGGGAAAUGAGGUGUAUCCACUGUUUGGAUGAUGAAACUUGAUGAGCUGCAGUUCAGCUUGGAUUACAGUAUUUCAGAAGACUUUCUGAACUUGCCAGGCAACCCUUCCCCUAGACUUUGGGGACAGAGGAGCUAAAAUUUAUAUUUCCAGUGUCACACAAGAAGAUAGAAUGGAGUUGGCUGCUUUACACAAGUAAUGAAAAUCAAUGCUGUGUUGUUCUUGGAAGGAGUGCUCAAAAGGAGAAAAGCCUGGCAUAUACAUCUUGGUUUAGAGACAGAUUUUACCUGGGAAGAGUGUGCCCAGGGGAAGAUACAAGAAGAAGGGGAAGAGGUGAUGGGAAGAGAUUAUGCUACAAGCCAGCUUCCUGACCUCCAGAGUGGGAUUGAAGCUUUGUAACAAGAUUUAUCUGGAAAGUAUGACUGACAGGAGCAGCUUACUCACCAUUAGAUAAGUAUUGCAGAUGACUCAUGCUGGAGUAUUGAUAGCUGUGCUGCUGAGAUGGAUAUCCUGUUUUAUAACAGCUGUAGUGUGAUGCCAAUAGCCAGGAACCUUAAUUUCACUAUCCAUGCUUUUCUGUGAAUGUGCUUUGGGUCUCUGGCACCUUUUCUUCUUGGUUUGUCCAUCUAAAGGGUUCACAGGGAGGGGAGGUUUUGCUUCCCUCAGUGGGGUACAGGGUAUGGGGCAGCUCAUGUCACCUUGAAAUAAUAGCUGGUGUUGAAAGGCUGCAGCUUUUAUAGCUGUUCUCCAGGACGUGCAAUACUUGUCUUUUUAAUAGAUGCCAUUAGUGACUUUCCUCGAUUCUUUGGGUUUUUUGUUUUGUUUGUGUUUUUUCAGAGCCAUUAUAUCCCUUCUUCAGCAGAACAAACCAGAAGGUGUAGAAACAGGUAAGGCAUCUGCUGUUGCAGCAUGUUGCUUCUGAAUCAUUAAGGGAAAAAUACUGGCUGCAGUAAAGUGCAAAAAAAACCCUGUUGACUCAAUGGCAAAUGAGAGUUGUACCCAAUGUACUGAGCUCCAUGAGAGGCUGGAAUUACUACAUUCAGGGACAAAUUUGCAGGCUACCUGAGAGCACGUGUCUGAACCUCCCUCUGCUUCCAAAACCACUGGCCUCAAGGCUGUGUGAACAGUAGGUGAUGAGAUUUAAGAAGUGAUGAGCAAUAAGAAGGAGCCUGCCCUUGGGGGAGAUGCAAAAGGAGCUGAGCUGUGAAAGUGGGGGAUAUGUCCAGGAUGGCAGGAGCUGCUGGGGAGGUGUUAACCCACAUGGGAUGGCAGGGGACUAAGGUGGCUUUAGCUUGGAUAGGUGCAAAGGGCUAUACAGCAAUGAGGGAAAUUUGGAGUCAAAAGGAGAAAUUUUUCAUGGGAGCAGUGCAGCGAAGGCCAUGCUGCCGGUGAUGGCAGCACAUGUGGCUCUGCCUGAUGUACCUACCUGUGUGUGUGUGGUGUCACCGGGGAUGGCUGGAACCCCACCUGUAGCACACUCUUGGGCAUCACCUGUGGUUCACACCAUCCUUAAACUGCUGAGGAUGUUUGGUUUCCAUGAAGGUGCUGGGCCAUGACUAAGAAGCUGUGGCUUGAGCAGUGUGUCCCUUUCACCAGCAGGAGCUUGGGGCAGGACUUUCCAGUGGGGCAGUGGAGGCGUGUCAGGUGCUGCACAUGAUUUCUCAGCAAAUAUGAACCAGAGCCCAGGAAGAAAAAUCUAGCUUAAAGGUCUCUGCUGUGUCCCAGCAGCAUGAUUUGGGUCUCAGCAUUUACUGUGAGGGUGGUGAGACACUAGAGCAGGUUACCCAGAGAAACUGUGGAUGCUUCCUGUGGAACACUUCAUCCCUGGAAGUGUUUAGGUUAGGCUGGACAGAGCUUAAGCAACCUGAUCUAGUGAGAGAUGUCCCUGCCCAUAGCAGGGGGGUUGGACUAGAUCAUCCUUGAAGGUCCCUUACAACCCAACCCAUUCUAUGAUUCUGUGAUUUUGAUACUUUGCUACACUCAUUGGAGCUUGUGUUCUUCAGGCUGUAACAGCACUUUGGAGUAAAGAACUGGGUCCUGAUCAUCUGUAAAAUAAAAAAAACUUAUUGCAUCUGGCUCCAGCAGAACCCCCUGCAUGAUGGCUUGUAACAUAGUCUCAGUUAGGUCCCUGCCUCACAGAGUAGGAAAUACCUUUAAGGCCUCCUCUGUUUAGGCUCUGCAUCAGAGAUAUUCACAUGCUAUGAAACUACCUCAGGACUAAAUUUUUUUCAGUGAUAAUCUGAUGUGGCUCUUGGUAGAAAGGAUGGGAGUUUGGCAUUUGGGGAUUGUAUAGAUCAGUCAGUGAAUGCAAGGGCCAGGGCAUCAGGAAUUUUACCAGCAAGUUCUUCCACUUUGGCCAUGUCCUCCCACACUGGCAUGUCUAAAAAAGCCCCAAAAUUCUGAUGAAUGCUCUUAACCAUCACUUGGAAAUAUUUUUGGGGUAGAGAAAUGAGAACACUUGUUCCUGCCCCAUUCACCUUGCAUCACUGGGGUCAGGAUGGCAGCUCAGAGGCAGGAUCUGUGCUUCCCCCGUGGAUGGUCUCAGCUCUACAUAUUCAAAUCAAGCACCCAGGCAUGUCACCUCAGUGCAGCACGCACUGAGAGAGGCACAGGGGCUUUCCAGCCCUGCAGGCCAUUAUUAGUAAGAGGGUUUGCGUGUGGUGUGUCUUUUGGUUCAAGCUGUGAACUGCCACCAGGCUCUAAAAACUCUUGGUGAGCCUUGGUAAUAGUAUUGUAAAAACUUUCCGAGAAGCAUAAUAACUUCCCUAUAUAUAUAUAUAUAUAUAUAUAUAUAUAUAUAUAUAUAUAUAUGUAUAAUGUCUGAAGAUGUUUGGGCAUUUGUUAGUGCUGAAAGUUUGCUGACCCCAGCAGAGGGGAUUUGUACUCUUGCCAUCAUUGGGGAAACUCAGGCAGGUAGUGGAUAAGGAUAAGGAGGUGGUUGUUGGGGUUUUGCUACUCUCUCUGUCAGUUUGGGAUGGUGGAUUUGGGGGCAUGUUUGUGGGUUUGGGAGUAGGUAGAACAAUUUAUAGCAACAUCAAUGGCCUGUAUGGUAACUUCAAGAUUGCGCCAGCUAAGCAACCAGAUCAGGGAUUACAGAUCCCAGGGCACCUGAAGUCCAAAUAGGUUUUUAAAUCACGCAGGUCAUUUUAAAAGAGAUAAUUAAGUUUCUGAGUUCCUCAGUAGUGCCUACAAAUGUUCCUGCAAAUGGCUCAUGAAGCACUUGCAGUCUAUAACUUCUGCCAAAGGAAAAUGUGCUAUUAGGUGGAAAUUAGCUGCCCAUGUGGCAUUUUCUGUCUUGGAGUCUCAGGGAGUUUUACUGGGAUGUGUUAAUACAGCUGCGCUGAAGGUACUACUCAUCUGCACGCUCUGAUAACCAUCCUCAUGUGAAAUGAAUCCCUGUGGAGCUGUUUGAGAUCUUGCUGCUCCUAGUUCCCAGCCUACCUGGUUGCCAAAAGCUGCUACCCACAGAGGCAGGGCUAAGGAUGAGCUAAUGAGGUACAUCUGCACCUUAUCCCUUGUUCUGUAUGAGCACAAACCCAUCUUUGCUUACUGGGAGAACUCCCACCAGGUGGGAAGCUGCAAUGUGGCAUAUCUAUUCUGCCACCCCUUACUGGGGCAAUGGAGGAUUAAGGGCUGGAAGUGCACUGAGGUGGAGGCAGUGACAUGUCAGGUGCUGAAGUUAGGCUUUGAGAGCAGUUUUGCCCUCUGGAAGUGUCUGCUUUUUUUGCACUUGACUGGUUGGCAAGGUGGGAGUCAUCCCCCCACCAUGUAGGUCAGCAGUGCAGCUUUUGGUUUAUGCUGCAGCCAGAGGCGAUCUAGUCAACAUUGUCCAUAGAGUUUUAGGUGUGAUGGACCCCUGAUGAAUGGGGCAAAUUACACCUUCAUCUUCCUUGGCUGUGUGGCAGAUUCUUCAUCCCCUGCAAAAGCACCCUGUGCGGACUUGUUUGGAUGCAGGUGCCAAGGCUGCAAACACCUGUCUUUGAUGAGAUGUGGCGUGCCCCAGCCAGCUAACUCCAACUAGAUACAGUAUUUCAGAUGGCUCUAGGAUGGGUGAGAUGAAUCCUACACCUGCUGUAGCAGUGCUCAUGCCCUGGGCUGUCUGGGGAGGGAGGCGGGUGUUAAAGCAAGCUUGCAGUGAAUCUGACUUCCCAUUCUUUUCUGAAGAUGGUGGUCAGAUCAAGGCCAGCUUGGAGAAGGGAAAACUCCUGUAGGUCACUUGCAAUUUGGCAGUGCCUGAGUCACCCACAGUCUGUGCACCCACUGCGUCCGUGACCUGUGGAUGUGAUGGGGAGGCAAAGGAGGACUUGAGGGCAUGGCACGGCACAAGAACAGUGUGGAAUCCUUUCAGGAAUAGUGUUGUUUGAGGCAGUACAGGGACAGUAAAUACUGUCCUUUUCCUCAAAGAUUCAAUUAGUUUUGUGGCAAAGGUUGCUUUCUGUCUUGGCUCAAGGAUUUCAUAAUUUUCACACUUGCCUUCUGGAGGUCCACAGGCCACGUGAGCAUGGGGAGCAAGGGCUGAUGGAUGCUUGGUGAGCAUUCUUACACUGGUGCACAGGGAUGGUUGUGCCAUUGAGCUCUGGCUGCGUCUCUUUCCAGCUCCCAGCACCUUCUCCCUUUUAGAUGAUCCCUGGUGCAGGUGUAUGGGUCUGGCUCUGCCAUCUGCACUGGUUAUGGUGGCAGCAGAUUUCCCCCCUCCAAAAGGGGUUCUCCCUGGCUGCUGCAAAGCUUGAGCAGGGAGCUGCUCCAGCUGACCCUGCUAUUGCAGCAGAUCUAUAGAUGUACUAUGAGCAAGGAGCAGGGGAAGCACCUGGAGACACAUCUGCAUUGGACCAUGUCACACAGCUGUCCUAAUUGGGCAGCAAGCCCGGUCAGUAGGUUUGCACAGCGCCAGUGUCCUGCACGUAUGGCCUCACCAGCCUGUCCCAGACAGUGUCAGCCUGUACAAGAGACUGGUGCUUGUUUGGUUGUGUCUUAAAGCCUUGAUUGCUAUCAGAUCACUACCCCUAGCCUCCCCCAGCUUCAUUUUUCUCUUUGCAUUUGGAGUUGCAGCCUCAGUUGAGUGAAAACACUCAAGCUAAACCCUGUGCCCCAACGGCUGCUCAUCUGAAAGUGCGGAGCCAGCUCGCAGCAGCUGCUAAAAUAUCAGAACUGAAGUGGGGAAUGAAAAGUGAGCUGGUGAUUAAGACCCAAUUUCCUGUCGUGGCCCCACAGUGUUCCUGCCGGCAGUGGAGACAUUGGCAGCAGUGGUGUGAAAUGUCUCAGCCUUCUGCCUUGGGCUGGCUGAGCACUUGCACUGCCGGGUGCUGCUCGCUUGUCUCAGUGCUUUGUGGAUGAUGGUUUGGCUGAGCUCAAGGGGACAAUGAGGAUCCUUUUCAGGAAGAGGGGAAGGGUAGGGAGUCCAUGCAGACUGCUCCUGGCUGAGAUGGUGUUGGAAGCAGCCGUGGUGAGACCCAGGCCAGCCCUGAAGCAGGCUCAAGUUAGUUGUUUUGUGUUGCCUGGAAGACAUGAAAGAGUGCACAAGGUUUAGGAACACUGGGAACACUGAUCCUCUGGAUCUUUUUCUCCUAUCUCUGCCAGUAAUAUUCCUUGGAUCCACUAUUUAGGACUGGGAGAGAAGAAAAUGCAAAAAAGAGAAAUUGCUGCUAAAAGGAUGGUGAAGCUCCCAAGCUGAUGCUGUUUGUUCCAAGGGCACGUGGGUUGUUCACCUGUCCUACUGCUCAGUCCCUCAUGUACCUAAAUGUUGUAAAAGAGCAAAUGCAUUAGAAUUAAUUUAUCUUUUUGGACUUCUUGCAUUAGAAGUUCAUUCAAGAGAAAACAUGAAAAAUUGAGUGCAAAGAUGAUGCUGAUGGCUUUUCCUCUAAGGAAGGCUGUUCCACUUGCACUUACUAACGUGCUCUAUGUGUAUGAGUAUCAAAGGCAGCUUCUGGUUUCAUUCUCACCCUGGAAGUGCAAAUCACUGCUCUCCUGUCUGUGCUCCAACAGCUCCUAGGUCUGUGUUGUAGAACCUGAUGUGUUUCAGCAGUCCAAACCACAUUGAUCGGAGCAGUAAUGUGCAGCACAGAGAUGGGACUUUCUUACACUUCUUCAUCCUUUGAAGAAAGUCAGUUGCAAAACCCUCUGCAAAGACCCCAGCACCCCACAGACCGUGGUGCUUGCUCUGCACUUGGUGGUUACCCCAUUUCUUUCUGUGUUUAAAAGUCAGAGCAGCUCCCAUCACCCACCCCUCUUAAACCCACCAGAAUCUCUCACUAACUUACACUCUGCGAAGGUGAGUUACUGCUUGAUUGGGCAGCAUGAGCGACCACUGCUUGAAACUGUUGGCUUUUGCUCUUCCUGGCUUCCCUUGGGAUCACCUGGAUCUCCUCCAAGGCUGCCCUUUCCUCUGCAUUCAUGCAGCUCUCAGUGUGACUGGCAUGGCUGGGAAGGCGUCUGUUGUAUGAGGUCACAUAAAUGCCCUGCUCAAAUCUGAUCAGUUUGAAGGAAAUGUAAAUAGAAAUGUAAAUGCAUUUUUCACAGAACAAGUAGUCAGCAGAUGGGAGAGACUCUCACAGACAGUGUGGGAAGAUGGGAGGGAAGCUGUUGGGGAAGAUGUGCUGUUUCACAGCAGCCAAGGCAAUUACCCUGAAUUGGUAUCCUUUACUGCCACUACUUUCCUCCAGCCCAGGAGUACUCCUCUGCAGGUGUGCAGCCUGCUGGGGCAUGCAUGGCCAACAUGCAAAAGGCAAGGAAGGGGUGAGAGGGGACUGUUGAUCCUGAGCCUGGCAGAGCAUCACGCAUCAUCUUUCCUGUGUGAGGAGGGGCAGCUUUUUUGUAGAGAAAGACUUCCUGCGCUCACGAAGAGACUUGUGUGAUAUCCUCUGCCAGGGGGAGAGUGGUGUUUUAUACUCCUCUGGUGCUUUUCAUACCAGAGGAGUUCAAAGUGCUUUUAAGACUAUUUUCAUAGUCCUGAGGAAGGGAUGAGCAGUAGGUUUUGCAUGAAAUGUCCUUUCCUGCCAGGAGAACAGCACCCAACUGUGCAGCUGCAGUGCUAGAAGCCAGAGCUUUUCCAACAUAUUGACUUCUGCUUGCCAGUGAAGCAGCACCUCAGCACAGUGUCAUUUCAGGAGUCUGGAGGAAGAGCUACUCAGAAUUGUUUUGAGUAUUUUAGGAGCUGUUUUGAAGGAGAAUGGAUUAAAGGAGAGGAAAUAGUGCAGACAUGGAAGGUAAACAGCUGCAUUUUGAGGAGGCAGGACAAGUAUGGCUUUGAGGUGAUAGCAGGGAACAGACUGCAGAUUAAUUUGUGUGCAUAAUGCCACCAUACAGAUACAAAACACUUCCCUCUUCGACAGAGAGAUCUUUCAUAUCAAUCUACGGAGGAAACAAUGCUUGGUUGAAAGAAACUGCAUAGGCUUAGUCUGGUGGCACCUGGCAUAUUCCCUAGUUCUGGUUCCCCAGGCCAGCAAGGCUGUAGAAAACAUGAAGAAUAUGGAAAACCAAUAAACUUUCUCCUAGGAUCCAAGCCAGAAGAGUGUUCUUCUGGGAUGAUCCAAAUGUCUUUAACUAAACUCCUGCAACUGAGAAUGGCAGUUUUGUUGGCAUCUGUUAGUCGCAGCACAGAAAGACAGCAGAUUGUGUCACCAUCCUGACUUCCAGGUGAUGGUCACAGGGCAGGGAGGCCGAGGCAGAAGCAGAAAAUCUGGUGCAAGAGGAAGGAUCUGCUGUAGUGAAGAGACAUGAGAGAUUGAACAGGAUGAUCCCAGUGUCCAUCCAUGUCAGUCUGUGGAAGAGGACUGGUGUGGGCAGCUCACCAGUGUGUCCUGAUGUCACCGAAGAUGGCGUGCAAAUGGCAGUUCCUCAUGCUGUGGUCUUUAUUUAGAGUUCUGUAGCCAUCCACUAGCCUGUCUUGAAUGGCUUCUCCAGUGUGAUGCCAUGUUCAUGACCUCAUCUACCAAGCAGUGCUGGCAUAUGGUGUAAGUCAGGAACUGCAUGGGAGAGCAACCAGAGGUGACCCGGGCAGGCAUGAGCCAUUUCCAGUGGUCUCCCUGCUGCUUUCUGGCUUUGCUCAGUCUGGUGGUGGAAUAUGUGCUCCCACUUUGCAGUGUGUCCAGCCCAGCCCAGAGGCUGCAGGUCACGCUUUGAUGUGUCUGCCCUUUGCCAGCUAUGCUAGCUUGGCUCGCUUGCCAAGUCCACGUUCAGCAUGGCAAGUGUCAGCAGCAGAGCCAAAGGAUUCCCAGGGUGUGUUGGAUUCUGCUUGCAAAGCCUGCAAGGAGAUGGAAAAGGUCAUUUUGUCUGGGGCAGGGGAGGAGGAAAGAGGCAUAAGGAAUGAUGCCAUGUGGAUUUGUUUCAUUCCCUUGAGGAAAACAAAGCAUCUCUGCAACAACUUGAUGAUCCUGGAGAUCUUUUUCAACCAUAAUGAUUCUGUGAUUAUGUGAUUCUGUGACAGGAGAGCAGCAUGGAAACCAAAACUGAGAUAAGGAAGAGAUAAAAAACUGAGAGAAAGAAAGAGAUAAAAACUGCCUUGCUCCUUAGCAACCUUCUCUUGCAUCUCACCUCGCUGGGUCUCUUUACUACCAACAGUAGGGAAUAAAAAGGCGGAAAAAAAAAAAGCCACAAGAUGAGUUUUGAAUGGAUGCCAAGGUUGAUUUAAUUAGAUGUAUUGAAUUCGUUAACUUCUGAACGAUGUGGCUGUCACGCAGCACAAGUGACGAGCUGCGAGCGGCGAUGGCAGCGUGGCACCGACCUGCCAAAAGGCUCAGCAAAGCAGAAGGAUUGACCUACUUCCCUCGGCUCCACGGAGAGCACAGGCAACUGCCCUCCACUUGCUGUUGCGUGCUCCCUGGAGGGCUGUGCAUCCCUCUGUGCAGGGGAGAGCUCAGCAGCCCAGCAUUGCCCAUCAUCUCCAGCACGAGCCCGGGGCUGGGUAAUUGUCCGUGUGCCCUUGGGAGGCAAAUCGCUCAAAGCAAGGGCUCCUGCUUUGUGUGCUGACUUCUGUCGUCUGGCUGACACUGAUUUUCAGCUUCUCCCACCUAGUGCACCCUUAAAAAAAUACCAGCGUUCUCUGAUAAUGGGCCUAAAUGCUGUUGCAGCUGAUAAGGGUGAUAAAAUCACCCGUGCACACUGCCAUGGCAACCUACGGCUCUUAGGUCUUGAUGUGUGCCUGCUCUUUGGUGUGAGUGUGGAUGUGUGGGUUUGUUAGAGACUCAGCCUGGGAAUCACCUGAGUCUGGAGGAUUUGUUUCCUAUUAUGAGCUCUGACAUGGAUACAGUGCCACUGAAUGGCUCCUUGUCUGGCUAGCCACCCUCAGCGUGGAGCAGAGCAUGCUUUCCCUUGUACCUUGCUGGGGCCCUGGCAGUGCAAAUGGCAUCUCAAAAGAUUUGUCAGUGCCAGGAAAGAGGCUUCCGAAAGAGAAAUUUGUUUCCAAAUGAAUUCUGUAAUGGUUAUCAAGAGGAACUGCUGGGUGUCUGCUCCCACGUCUGCCAUCAUGCAAUGAAUGUGUAGAUCCAGAGUCCUCGUGCAGUGACGAUAGGAUCCCUUUGAGACUGGAAUGUCCUGGACAAGUAACAUUCCAGCUAAAGAAAUCCCAACAACUGAGUGGCAUUCUGAUGUUCUGCCCUUGGUACCAGCCACGAGCCGAACUCCAUGCAUUUGUUUGGCAGUCUUCUCUCAUGUCUCAUUAGUGUAGAUGCAAGAAUAUGUCCUGUCAAACCAUGUCUGUUAAGUGGUGAAGAGAGAAUGUGGAUUUCCUAAGCUUCCAGCACAGAAGUGGUGCUGUUGUGAUAGGGAGUGUUUGCCAAGAUCUAUGGAGCACGAGGACACUGACAGAGAUAUUUGUGAAAUGCACAAGUAUAGAAGCGCUGCACGAAACCAUGGUCUGGGUUGUGCUGAAUAUCGCUGUGUGACCAAAUGAGAUGCUGACAGGAAGGAAGCUUUGGCACGCCAUCAGCCUCCUCUGAUUAUUGUCAGUAUUAAGCCUGGAUUGAAAACACCAGGCCAGGUAGUCACACAAUAUGGUGGGGAACUUGCUAUUUCAGUGGGGAAAUGAGACAGAGCAGCAUUGGGGAAGUUGUCUGAGGUCACUCAGAGAAGACAACUGGGAUGUUGUUUCCCACCACCCAAGCUCAGGCCUUCUCUUCUUACCUCAAGUGUAGCUUCUUCUCUUGGCCCUACAGCAUCACUCAGCUUGAGGAGAAAAGGGUUGCUUGGGUGGGGAGAUGAAAGAAGAAAUGUUAUUUCAUUGAGCAAUGUCAAGAAAUUAGACGGGAAGAAGAAAAAGAGGAUGGAUGGAAGGAAUCCAGCUGUCUUCUGCAGAGAAGAAAUCUCUUUGUAGCAUUGAGGCUGCUUUCAGGGUUCAUGAUUCAGCUUUCAGGUUGGUUGUUGAUAGUUAGGAUGUUUUCAUUUUGACUUCAUCUGUUGACAAGACAGUAAGAGCUCUGUGAGGACGCGUAUCUCUCCAUCACAUAUGACUAAUUGUAUUGGGACAGCCGUGAGCACAAUAACACUUCUGUUUUCCUCCAGAACAGCUCCAUUACAGACUGCCUGGUAGCUGAGCCCCAGCAAGUGUUUUUGCAGUUUUGCUGAUUGUGCAGCCCAGAUAACCUGUGAGAGAGCAAACAUGGAAAGUGUUGAAUAUUCAGCUCAAAAACCAGAAAACAGUCUUGUUUCACUGCUUGUCUGAACUGAGCUUUUAACUGCGUGUUGUCAAUGCUUUUCAGGAAAGUCAUCUCAUCUGGGACACGUCAUCUGGCAGCGAAGUGCUCCCAUUUAGGGACAGCCAUCAAGAGUUCUGCAAAGGCCAGGGCUCAUUGCUAGGCACUAUUGUCUUUGCAGCUUAUUUUUGUGUUUUACUUUUCCCAUCUCCUUGGAGAGCAAAACUCAAUCUGUGCAAAACAGAUGCAUUUUUAAACAAGAUUUGUCUUAGUGUUACACUCAAACUGUCUCCAAAAAAGCCAGUACAUAGCAGAAGCUAGCAGAAGACUUUCUCCAGAUGUUUGCUGCUGUUCGUCCUAUUUCUGCAGCAACCCAGGAGUUUUGGUGCAAUGUAAGUACUGAAUUUAAACUUCUUGGUAUUAAACUGGUCACCCCCUGCUCCUCAGGGUAACAGCUGUAUUUAUGCAUGAAAGCCACACUCUCAUUCCUCAAGAAGUGUGUCGGCACAGAUGACCCUCUGACCUCAAUGUAUCAGCUCAGUGGUCAACAGCCUUAUGCAGAAAGAGCUUUGGUGUGCAACUCUUCCACUUGGUGAGUUUAAUCUAUGUAUGGAUUACAACAGAAAGUUCUCUACAAGAGGCUAUGCAGGUUUUAAGCUGCCCUUGCCUUUGAUGAAAUCAUUGCUUGCUCCUCAAGGAGAUUUGUGAUAUCUGGAAUCUGCAUUCAUAGUGGGCAGGUGGGCAGUCUGUCCAACAUAAGGAGGUAGCGGAGAUUUUGUGACUCUUCCUCUGUCCCUUUUCCCUAGGAGAGAAGCCAGCUUUCCUGCCUGCAGCAAGACACCCCUUCUGAUUUAGGAGUGCAAGACUGCUUCUGUCAUGAUACCGUGACAAGGUCACAGUUUCUGUCUGGGUGUUAGAGGUGAACCCUCCUAGUCAGUAGGAGAAGGAUGAUGCACCAGGAGGUAGCCAGUCAGUGCAGACCUUCUGAGGGCUUUGACUUCUCAUAAAAAAUUCACCAAAGGUCCAUUUCAGUCUGUUUCUCCUCUCCUUGCUAUGUUGGACUUGUUGUUUGUUGAUAGAGGACAGGAGUUACCUAAGGAGCUCUGGGCGACUGAAUAGAGGAGCUGAGCUUGGGAUGUGAACGUGGCAGCUGCAGACACCAAGGAGGAGAAUGCUGACUGCUCUCCUGAAAGCGUGAGAAACCUCUGGACACGGACAGAGUGUGCAUGGCAUUAUGACUGAUCUGCCCUGGAUGAGUGCUCCGCAGAUGCCCCUUGCAAGGGCUAAUGCAUGUGUCUGCAGCUCUUAAAAAUAAGGAUGUUUCCCAAUGUCCCCUGUCAGCCUUGAGCAUAGUUCCCAUCAUUCCUGUUGGAUGCCCUGCGGUGGGAAGAGCAGGCGUGCUGGCUGCCAGUUCAGGUUUAAAAAUGAUGUCUGUGCAAAGUCCAUCCUUGUCUGGACUCCAAGGGACUGCUGUGCACAAGGCCUUCACACAGUCUCCUUAACAGGCUCCUUUUCACUUUUUCCAGGGACUUGCACUGUGCUUCAUUUCAGAGUGAUCCAGUGAAUUAACAUAUUGUUGCUGCUGCCUGGGUAAUUGCAUGCCCGGGGUCUGCUCUGCUCCAGCACAGUCUUCCCGGCUUCCCAGACAGAAAGCAUCCUUCUCCUUUGGCAAACAAAGUUGCAAGUAUUGCCCUGAGGCCUAGCUCAAAGACUGGAGGAAUGGGAGGGUGGAAAGAGGAGAGGGAAGCUGGAAAAAGGAGAGGGAAACUGUUUUAGAAGGUAUAUCUGGCUUCAAGAGCUUACCUAUCAAUGAGGAGCUGGAGUUGGGGUUUUUCAGCCUUUUUUCUUCACAAAAGUACUAAUUUUGACUGAAGCUGUGGUUUUCUUGCUGAUUUAUGCAGACAUUGGUAUGGGUGCAGUUACAGAAAUUUAGUUUAGCUCAAGUCACCAUGAGGACUCAGAACUGCUUGAAAUGAGCUGUGCUGGGUCACACAGGAAUUUCAGCAGAAGUUGAAACUGAGUGGUCUGAUAACCUCUUUGUACUGAAAAUAAAACUCUUUAAAUAGGUAGGUGUAAAAAUGCUUGCUGGUCUCACUUCCAAAUGCAAAAAAAACUCACAUGUGGAUAAACCCUUAGAGCCUCUAAGUUCCUGUGAGACGAGACCACAUCACAGAACACUUUGGUGAGCAUAUUAUCGAAACAGGGUGGGUUUCUUAAUGCGGAUGCAAGUUUGCAUUUUUGUAAGAUGAUAUUUGGUCAGGACUGACUUCUGGUGGGGAGCUGGCAUCCCUUAAGCAAUGGUCUCCAAAAAGAAGUGUGGUUAUGUACAACAUGAGGAGGGCAGCUUUACCUCCUAGUACAGCUUGGCUGUCAAACAGAUGCAUUAAGUGGAUUGGGAGCAUGCAAACUCAGGGAUAGUGGGGAGGAAGUUGACUUAUGGCUCUGCCACUGACUUUUGUGGUGACCUGGGGUGAGAAGAUGAGCCUCUCCUUUUCUACCUCCUCCUUCGCUUCUGCCCACCCAGCACAUGUAGCAAUCACCUUGUAGUUUGUAUGGGUCCUUCUAAAAAAGCUGGAACUAUCUGUAAAGUCCCUUUUCAUCUUCUCAGUUGUGAACAUUUCCUGUCCGUUAAGCAGCAUAAGCUAUUUUGACUGAAAGGAAGACAUUUUUCCAAAACUCUUUUUGACACAAGGGAUGGAGAGGAUGAUGUGGCCAUGUUGACAGUGUAGCUGGGUCAUCCUGCACCAGAGCUGUGCAGUUUGUGGGGCAUAGGAAAGAUUAUUGAGGCAUUUCCAUCCUGUGGAAUAGAGGCUGCAGCCUUGGGCAGUAUAUGGAGAUCCCUGUUGUGGUUGACCUAGCCAUGGGCCUUAGGGAAUCCCGCUUGUUCUGUAACUAUGUGUGUGUAUUUAUGCACAUACACAGAGGAGAAAGAUGGAUGUGUGUGCUGCAGAUGGGACGUGGACAAAGGUUCCUUGGCCACUGGCACCCCAGCUGAGAUGAACAGAUGAGCCACUGUGGGACUGCAUGCAGGACUGAGGUUUGUUGUGUCCUGAGAUGAACAUAAGGCACAGUGCCCAGGGGUGCCUUCUGGGCCUUCAUGGUCUUGGAUGUGGUGGUUUCUCUAACUCUUUCAUUUGGGAGAUAUCGCAAUCCCUGAGCGCUGAGUGAUUCCCACCCUUUCCUCUAAAGCCUUUGCAGUGGUGGCAGUUUGAAGAUGUCCUGUAGGAUGAUAUAGGCUGAAAGGGAUCUUGGGUGGGUCAGCUGUGAGAUCAGACCAGGUUGUUCAUGACUUUGUUUGGUUAAGUCCUGCUUUCAGUGAACUUGGAUGUGUUCCCAGUGACCUCCCUGCAGGUGCUGGGGCUGCUGCUGCAUCCCUCAAAGCCAUCUCUUGCCCUGGCUGAACAAGCCCAGCUCCCACAGCCUCUUCUCUUUGGGCAAGUUACAAGUGCUCCUCCACUGCACUUGCUCUAGUUUGUCCAUGUGUUUCUUGUACCAAGACAAGAUGCAGUGUCUAGAUGGGGUCUAAUGAGUGCUGAGAUCUCCUGGCUGUUUCUGCUCCUGCAGCUCAGUAGGCUGUUGGUCUUUGCUGCAGUUCCUUUCCUAAGGUCCAGUUGGCCUUUGGUCCCAACAACUGUUCCAGCCCUUGAGGAGUGGCAGAGCUGCUGGGACAUGGGGUUGUGCCUAGAUGAUAGUUAAAUAGGACCCCUGUAACUGUGCUUGGAAAACCUGAGUGUUUCUCCACAGCCUGGGGGGAAGAGGAGCACAGAGGAGCCCUGAGGUGGCAAAGUCUUCUUCUCCCUGCUAAUGGUGUGGGCUCCUGUAGGGAGAGACACAGAGCCCAGACAGAGGAGGUGAUGACCUGAGUUCUGCAGAAAAAAGCAAAGAGGUGUAGUGUUAUAACUACCCCUGUCUCACUUAGUCAUCUGGAAAGCCAGAUUUUACUCGCUGCUCUGCUUCCCGUGGGGCUGUGACUGUUGAUGGCCAUGGACAGCUGAGGUCCUGCAAUAACAGUGCACAGGGCUGUGGAACAUACCUCACUGUGCUCACUGCUGGGCUUGAACCCCCACCCCUGGAGCCAUGUGUAGAGGAAUAGUGUGUAUACAUGUAUGUAUACCAUACUCAAACAAAAUGCUGCAAUUCCGUGCUGUGCUGCCAAAUUAGUGUGUGAGUUUCAAAGCAGCGACCUAUAUUCUUGACGUUCCAAGAGCCUUGGGAAAAGAUCAAUUUCUUAAUGCUGUACUAAUUUAAUAAAUAUCUUUUUUUAGUGUAGGAAGGCAGCAAUAAAAGACAAAAAGUAGAAAGAAAAGACAGAAAGACCUGUACAAUCAUUUUAAAGGUUUUCUGCUUUUCCGUUCAUGUUCUUUUCAGGAAAUGAAACUGGCUAUAUAUGGUAUAGGAUUGAAACCACAUAUCACAAGCCACUGUCAAGUUCAUGAAGUGACCACAUUGAAAAAGUAGUGAAAAAUAGGUUUUUACUGGUGCCUUCCUAGCCUGUAGGAAUCCUGGCUGUGGCUUGUCAUUGUAGUAGAGUGAAGAUUUGCAUUUUCAAGUUGGCGGUUUUCCUUUUUGCUCUUCUACUUCCUACAAACUAAUUUAGUGCAGUGUUAAUUGUGAAUCUGGAAUGCAAAUCAACUCACCUGCUUGUUUUUUCUUUCAUUUUCAGAUUUUCUAAGUAUGGAAGCUCUCCUGAGGAGCUGCAUUGUGCACUGCUGCCCCUGGGAUGGGACACAGAGCAAGGAGUGAAGAAGAGCUGUGAUGUGCCACUGCUUUUGUGAGGAGAGGGGUGUUCUGGCAUGUCAUAUGGUGCCAAAAGACAUUUUACUCUUGGCAGCAAAAAUCCUUAUCCUCCUUGUUGCUUUUUUUUUUUUUUUUUCCCAGGACAGAUGCUAUUUCCUGUUAGAGAUGCUUUGUAUGCAAAUCAAGGUGGUACAACAAGAAAAAAAGUCCUGAAAGCAAUCACACCAAUAAGCUCAGCCCACUGGGGAAUUCCUGCUUAUCAUUUAUCUUUUGUUUUUUCAGUUCUGUACAAGAUACUUCUUUGACUGUACUUUCUUACAGUCUUUAAUGUUUGUCCUGCCAGACCUCUUGCUUAUGAACUACAGUGCUUGCAUUUUGCAGGGCUCCAUGUCAGUCUGCACAAACAAAAGGCAGUAGGUGCUGGAAAUUUGGGUUAACAGUCCCUGUGUUUCAGCUUGAUCUUGCAUUGAUCUGGUGCUUUCUUAAAUUCAAGCCAGACAUGAGCCUCACACUACAGAUUGCCACAUGCCUAUAGUGAUGAUCUACUGGAAAGGUGAUCCCAGAAACCUCAGGAAUGCAAAAAAAAGAGAGAUAAAAAGCAAAAAGAAGCCAGCAAAAAGUUUACCUAGUAACUUAAACAGGAGCAGGAUUUGACUUGAGGCACCUCAAGAGAUGGUGUGGGCAGCACUGCACUAAUCAGUAACGCGAGUUGAUCACCUCAUUGCUCCAGCAGAGCAAAUUCACAUAGAAUCACAGACUGGUUUGGGUGGGAAGGGGCUGUAAAGAUCAUCUAGUUGAACUCCCUUGCCAUGGUCAGGGAGAUCUUCUAUCAGACCAGGUUGUUCAGGCCCCCUUCCAACCUGGCCUUCAACACUUCCAGGGGUUGGGCAUCAACAACUUCCCUGGGCAUCUGCUCAGCCUGUGCCCUACAGGUGUCCCUAUAAGUGGAUGGGGCUGAGCAAAGCCUUGCUCUCACCAGGCUGCCACCCUGCUGAUGUUACAACAGGCUGUGAGGGUGAAAAAAAGACUCAGAAACAGAAAAGGAUGUGUCAGACAGCUGUAGAACAGCAUUGCCAAAGAACAUUCUCGUGCGUGUCUAGAGAUAGCCACUGCAGCCCAGGUCCUGUUGAAUCAUGCUGUGGUUGUUCUGGCCUUUGUGUGGGUAACAGUGAUAAUCACUGUGUGUGGUGUUGGGUUUUAUUGUUUCUUUUUUUUUUCCUUAAAUGUAAAAUUAACAGUCAAAUUAGCAUUGGUGAGCAGCAAGCCUGGUGCAGCUUUUAUCUAUCCUGAACCUCGGAACAAAGGAGGGGAGGAAAAUGGCUUGACCAGUUUGGCAGCCGUGCACGUAACGGUCCUGGAGUUCAAAGCAAAGGGCACAACAGUCAGAUACCCAAACCCGCCUGGGCUUUGGCUGAUAAGUCACAUUUCAAAGUAAAAGGCAAUCCUAUAGGGGCUCUGCUGAGUGCCUAAAGCUCCAGUGCUGAGUCUUCUUUAAAAGGGGAUUUCAUAAGGAGUAAUAUGAACAGAAAUGGCUCUUUUGUGGUUUUACACAUUCCAGGCAUGCCAGGACUGUUCCUGUCAAGGAUGGGCAGUCUCUGGGGUUUUGGGGUUUUGAAAUUUUUUUUCCCCCCAAAUAUUUGCCACAAACUAGCAAGCUGAAAUGGUGAAAAAUAAAUAAGAGUUGCAAAAUCAUUACAGUAGCAGUAAUGGAAACUGUGAGGCUUAUACUUAAAUUGGCUGUGGGGUUUCACUCCAUCUUCUGCGCUGUUGCGCUGUGAGGAUUACUACUUUUACCUGCUAUGAUCACUUCAGGGUGGAUGAUUUGAAAGCAGAGCUUUAACUGUUUGUAACCCAGGACCUCAGAAAACAGUGCUUUUGGAUUUUUCAGAAGCAAUACCUUUUUCAGCUGAAGCACUGUUAAAUCUGAAUUUUAUCAGUGUCAGUGCAGUUAUGUGGCCAUACAGCAUCUUUACGUGAUAAUUUCUGCAGGUCUGUGUGUAUAGAAAUGGGGCCCAGCUGUUCCUGCUUCAGGUGCACUUUUGUUUCACAGAGGUCAUGCAGGCUUGGAUUGCACCUGUGCACAUUAACACAAAGUUUUAAUUGAUGUAAGAGUUUCAACGCACAAAGUUGUGGUGCCUGAAAUCUUGAGGGAGAGAACUUUUGCUCUGCCUUGAAACAGUCUGAAGUUUCAUGUGCAGUAAUACAAUAGAUGGGUUGUGUAGACCUGCCCUGUUAGAUGAGGGUCUAAUUCAUAAGCCUACGUGUCCUGUUCUUCUCCACAUGGCUACUGCUCCUGUUGACAUAGUCCUGUGUCUGGUGUAGUAGCAGGACCUCAUGGACAGCUGGGAAAGCCACGGCCAGAGAUGUUACUGCUGUCACCUCACAAAAGGUAUGGCUGUAACAAUGUGCCAUCAAAUGUGUGCCUCAGCCUCCCUGAGACACCCUACACAGACACUCAGUACCUUUAUUCCAGCACACUGACCACAGCCAUCUCAGCACCUUCAUGAGCUGGAGCUGCGCCUUUAUCAGCUCUGCAGGUGACACUAAUCCUUCUGUGGGGAGAGCAGAAAAUGGAGCCUGGCUCAUCCCAGCAGAGUCUGAACCAUGGGACCAUAGAUACCAUCCUGAGAAUUUGUUUUCAGCCCAAGUUUGACUGGGCACAAAUGCAGACAGAGGGUGAGAAAGCAUCUCUUUGAAAGUGGCAAUAAAAGAGACACUGUUGGAAUGAACCUUCUGGCCUGGUUUUAUUAAAUGUGAAUAUGGUUACUUAGUAGUGAACAGGAACUGGAGUGGAUUUAGGAGAUGGUCCCCCCUUCCAUCCUCCAACACAGGCUGAUGUUACAGGGAAGUCUCAAGGCUGUUGCCUGGGCUGUUGGGUCUGUGGAUGGAGGAACUUAAUCACCAGCGUUGCCAUCAAAUGCUGCUCUUACAAAAUACAAGGAAGAAGUGCUUGUGUUAAUUCUGUGCUCAACAUACAUAUUUUUCAUCUUAGACAAGUCUGGUCUUCCAGCCUUCUGGACUACUGCCAUUUUGGGUUUGGGAAUUUAUUUUUUUUUCUUUCCCCAUCAGUGCUACCAACCACAGAAUUUUGGAAACAAAAAGUCGGAAUGGGGUGUUCAGCGGUGAGCUGUGUUUUUACUAGGCCAAUCUUUUAGGAGUUGGUUUUGAAGUGGAUUUCAUUCUGUCCACUCAAGGUCUCUGCUGUGGAAAUAUUUAUUGCUGUGAAACUGUAGCAAGCUUUAUAAGUGGCAGGAAAAACUACUUUUGUAACCAAACAAGUGUGGUUUCCCUACAAGUCACACAGGUGUACAUUUGGAAUUUUUUUGUUUUGUUUUGUACCAAAACAAUUUUUCCACUGUGUUAUCUGGAGUGGGAAAAUGAGUGGACCUUGUAUUUUAAUAUAGAUUUCAUCCAUUUUGUCACAGCAGAAGCGUACAUAGAGAUUCUCUGUUAUUCUUCUUUUUCUGUGUAUUUGCUUUGUGGUUUGUGCCUUAGAAUCUCUGUUUUCCUCUUUUUGAUGGUUUGAGAGUUUUGAUAGAGACAGCAAAAAUGCUUAAAAAUAUUAAUGCCCUUGGGAAGGCUACAAAAGUUAUGCAGUGGUGAAGAGAUGCAGACAACCUGUAGAAGAGCCAGAUUUUGACAGCAUGGGAAGUGGUUAGUGCCUCAUUGGACAUCAUCACAUCAAAGCUGGACAGUGGGCUCUUGAGAUACUCUGUUUGAACCACAAAUUGCUGGGCUUUGGGCAGAAAUCACUGUAUGAAAUUCUGUGGUCUUCAUUAGGCAGGCGGACAGACAAAAUAAUUUUGCUGGUUUCUCUUGGCUCUUAGAAUUUAUGAAUCACAUAGUCAGGGUGUUCUGGGGGGGGGAUUUGAGUUUCCAUGAAAAGUUUGCCAUGGUAGCAUGCAGACAACAAAACCCAUCUGUUCUCUUGUCCUUUCAUCACGCUGUGUUGCUUUCGAAUUGUUCCAGAAGGAGGAUGAAAUUGGGCUUGUUAUUUAAAUUUCAGUAUGGGUGGCCAAAGCAACUCUACCUUGGUUAUUAUGGGCCUCCUGUGACCACAGGAAUGGAUGGUGCCUUAUGCCAGCCCUGAUUUAACAAACAUCUGAGGACCGACUCAGCACUGCAGCAUAGCCCAUGGGAAUUGUGUUCCAUGGGAUCCUGCAGCAAGGCAGUGUCUGGGAAUAUCUCCUCACACCCUUUAGUAGUAAGGAUGUCAUCAGCCCUUGUAGGCUGGUAUCUGAUUAAAUAGCACAGUGUGGGAAAAAAAAUACACACUAAUUUAUGGCAGUUGAAUGUGUGUAGCUGGGAGGAAAGAACUCAGGUUCUGUCUGAAGUUGUGUGAACCCAUCUGGGGAGCAGUGUCAGGGAGAGAAUCCAUGGGAUCCUCAUGUGUGAUCAUGUGAGAGCAAGCUCGUGAUGGAGCUGUGAGACAGAAAGGAACCCUGCAACUCUGGAGAACAAGUAGGAGCAGGGAUGUGACUCGUGACUUUGACCUUUUAAAGGGGGACACACUGCCUGGUUGUCUGUACUUGAAGAAAGGAGGGGUGGUGCCAGGAAGAAUUCAUGGAAAGCCACAGAUGACUUGGGUUUGCUUUGACUCCAGGCAUGAGGAGUGCAAUGUAUUUGCUUAAUUGGGAUGAAGGCUGGCAAGGGGGUGACUUGACUGCCACAUGUAGAGGAAGAAAGUUUUGAUCAGCAGGUUUGGGGUAAGGAAGACCCUUUCUAGGGGAAAUUUCUAGGGAAGACCCUAGAAUUUCUGUCCUUUUCCAGAUUUUAGAGGAAAUGUCUCUCUAUCAUUGCAGGUUUAGUUUAAAAUAUUGGGCUUAUUAUGUAGAGGUCUUGGGCGAAAGGGACUGAUAUGCAGUGUAGUGAAGGCAGGAUGGAUUAUUUGGGUCUUUCUGCCUUUAUGCUCAGAACUCUGGUACUUCCCAGCACCUUCUCCCUCAAAGAAGGGAAGCACCUUCUUCUACCCCUCCCUGAGGUAGGGAGGUUCUGCCACAACACUGGGCAUAGCGUAAAUGGUCAGGACAAAAUGCUUUGGAGCCAUUUUAUCUUAAGUCAGGUGUCUAAGAUAACUGGCUUUCCUUCUGGUAAUGGCUGUUGUCCUGCAGCAGCUAUGUGGGAGACCAGAAAUCUGUCUGAGAUGUGGACUCCUGUGCUUUGGAUGUCUGAAGCUGUGUGAGGUGAACACCCCUCUCACUGCCUGUGUGCAUGAUGAGGAGUUAGUGGAAUAAAGAACCUAUCAAAGAACCAUCUGACACCACCUGAGAUGAAAAUAAUAUGGAAAAUGUAAUCAGCUCUCUGCAGUUGAGCAGUCCCUGGAGGUCCUGUACCAAACCUGACCCACUUGCUGAACCCCAGCAGUGCAGCACUGGGCACUCCUCUGCCUGCUUUCAGAAGAAUGAAAGGACAGCAGUAUGAAAAGAGACAAGUACACGGGACAGCAAUCAGUGGUAAGUCUUUAAUAAGAAAGAGCUGGGGUAUUUUGUUUGUUAUUAAAAGGAAACCCACUUUCUGCAGCAUUUCUCUUUGUGUGGUGCUCAGAAAGGAGGGAGGUGUUGGAAGAGGUUUGUUUUCAACCUGACUGAAUGUUUUCCCAGUUCUUUCCCUGCACUCCAGCUCAUCCCAUCCCAGUCUUUCCAGCCAUGCCGUGUUGGGAAGCAGCUGUGAGCUCAUCCUCAGGGCUGAGUUCUAACAUGGUAACUGUCCUGGGCUCGACUGCUUUGCAGGGAUGGAGGGAGGGCUCUUGCCACUGGCAAGGAGCAUCGUGACUCUUUGCCACUUGUCCCAGUUUGCUGUCAGGAUGGCCUCCCGUGAUGGUUCAUCAUGAGCCCAGCCUCCCAUCUCUAAGCUCCCCAGAGGUGUUACCACUUUGCCAUGGCUUCAAGUUAGUCCAUCUGAGUGGAUAAACUGCAGUGGGUAAAAAUCAAAUCCAAAACUCCUGGGUUUUGAGAGGAUGAUAGCAGUGGACUGUUAGUAGCAAACUAAAACCCAUAUCCCCUUUCCAGGUAGAUGUUGCUGAGAAGAUGAUUCCCAUGUGCUCCUCAGAAGGGCUGCUGAGCUGCCAGAUGAGCACCAAGCUUUCCCUUCCUGUGUGUACCCGUCCUGCUGGCUGCAGCCCUUGCUGGACCCUGGGAGGAUGCAAGGCUCUGGCUCUUUUAAUGGCUGUCCAGAACAGUGAGGGAAAACUGCCUCCUCCCUGGACACAAACCACAUUGAUUUGCUGGUGUUUUUUCUUGGUUUUUUUUUUUUUUUUUUCUUUUGGCUGUCUGAAUAACUAAGUACAAACUUCUUUCACCUAUUUGACAUCAAUUCACUAAUGGAUGGCAGAAGAUUUCAUGUUUGGUUUUUAGCUGAAAAAGUGAUGAUUCAAUUAUAAACCUCACAUUAUACAUCUUUGAACCAUGUGAAAAGUGUGAAUUUUUACAGAAAAUGUGAGAGUGGUGGGGGUUGUGGAAUAAACUUUUUUGCCUGAAUUUUAUUCUAAGUUUUGAAUUAGUGAGAUAUAUUUCAUGGGACUGAGAAAGCUGUGAUUUUUCCCCUUCCUUCAGUGUUGGGCUUUUUUUGUUGUUGUUUUUUGUUUUGGGUUUUUUGGGGGGAUUCUUCUUCUUGUUGUUGUUGUUUAGCUUUUGUUUUUUGUAAUCAGAGUAUUUAUUCCACAAGUUAAAUGGUUUCUCAUACACAAGUUAAUGUUGAAAGAAAAGUGAGGAUGAGGAGAGGCCAGACAUUGGGUUUUAGUUGUCUCCAAUUUUUUUCCUUUUAAGCUUCAGCAAAAAGGCAAUUGUUUCAUUUUGACCCACUUUCAAAUCACAUUAGCAAAUGAAUACAGAAUGAGAAGGACAAUCACAUGAACUUGAAGAAUGCAGCAGUUCAGGACAGGAGGGAGCAGUAGCAAUCCUGCUCUGACCAUCUGCCCAGACUGGGGUGUUUUAGUGUAUCCUACAACAUUUUUUGUGUCACCAAUAACAAAUUUCCAGUGAUUGGAAGGGGAUAAGGAAAAAGGAGCCCCCAGCACUCCUGUCCCCAUUUUCCUUGGCUCCCUUUCAGGUGUCAGCAGCAUGCAUCUCACAGUCACUGCAGCUGCAUCUGGCACUUUGUUCUUGUGUAGAGCACAUCAGUACAGGUAAGUGCAAGAGGGUGCUUGCUCUGGUUCCUGAGCUCUGGAGCCUGCCAUUAGAGCCAAGGCUGAGCACAAAAGCCUCACCCAGAGGGAGGGCACAUCAUUUUCAGUUUGCAGCAGGGAGCUUGGUUGCAGUACUCCCAGGGCCCACUGAGCUCGCUCACAUCUCUCCUGGCCUGUGGGACGAUGGACCUUUGGCUAUGAUUUAUCCAAGACUUUGCUAAGCUGCUGUUCUCCACAACAGGUCUGCCUUUGCAGGGAAGGCAUGCCAGCAGCUUCCUCUGGGUUUGGAAAAGUCAACUCCACAGUUACUCUCUUCCUGGAGAAACACAUUUGAUUUACCUUAGGAAAUUAGUGCUGCUGCAUUGACCUUGAUGGAUCUAGGCUGUGUGGUUUGUGUUUGGUUCAGGAGAGCUCAGUGGCAUUUCUUAAUCACUAUCAAAACAGUUCACUGUGUGAUAACUUCAGCAUUCCCAGCUUUAGCCUUACAGCAGAAGCAGCAGUGCUUUUUCUUUUGAGAGUCCCUGAUUUUUUUUCUGGCACUUGUCAGGUGUAGGUAAGGGUGAUCUUGGUGUUGCAUCUCCUGAGACCUUCCUCACUGUUAUCCUCAGCCAGUGCCUAGGAAAGAUGAGCUGGUUAUCUAUGAAAAAGAAUUGUAUCUGAAUGAUUGAUAUGUGGGAAUAUUCAGUCUCUGCCUGUCUGCUUUCUCACUGUGAGACUGAGGCAUCACCUCUGUCUUCUGUCCUUAUUCCCAUUUGGUGAAUGGCUGGCUGAGCAGCCGCAGAAAAGGUAGCAAAUCCAAGAGACAUGGAAUGCUGAUACAGCUCCCCAGUGUUUGUAGUGAUGCUGCUGGGGGUGCCCAGCCUCAGGCAAGCAUGGCAGUGACACCCUUGGAGUGGCUCUCUCCUGCCUGCCUGGGACCUUGUAGCCCUGGGGUAUGAGUUACUACCAAAAUUUACCUCUGUCUCAGCCUGGUCAACAAAGAAAUAGCAUUUUCUGCUCAUAACUGGAGGGAGAUACUGCUCUGCUUGGCUUCUUGAGAGCUGCCUAGAGUUUGUGCACAACUCCAUAUCCAGAGCCUUGCUUUUCCUGGUGCCUGACCACCAGGUGACAAGCGGAGGUACAAAAUCCCUGUCCCCAGCCAUCUGCAGAGAGAGGAGUUACCCAGGGACCAGCCCUGGCAUUGCUCCCUGAAGCUCAUGGAAGUACUACUGCUUCCAGAUGUCCUGCCUGUCCCCUGCAUGUCCAGUCAUGUUUAUUAAACCUCUGCAGCAGAUUGGUAUUGGGAAUCAAAGGGAUAUAGCACAGUUUGGGGUCUGUGAAUGGUUGCAGAAGUCUAGGGUGGGGAGAUGGGAGCAAGGAGUGGUAAUGUGGUAAGCCACUGCAGGUGCUGGAUGGAUCAACAGAGGGUGAAGCAGCCCCUUGCUGCCCUCCCACCAGCAGACUCCUGCAGAGAAGUGCAAUUCAAACAGCAGAGACCUGAGGGGAUUUGCUCCUGAGUUGUGGCACCUCCUCUUGCCCUGGUUGGCAGCCAUCAUUGGAUGUGUUGACCCAUGCCAAACUUAUUCAUAGAUGCCUAAUCCUCUGCAGCCAACCAGCUCGGUGUUGAGGACUUCCUUCCAGGAGCCAGAUAUGUCAGUACCAUUAUACGUGUGGGUCUUGAGUGACUUGUGCAAGGCCAGGCAGCAAGCUUGUGGCUGAGCAGGUGUUGAAAACCAGCUCUCCCAAGCUUCGAGUUGGCAGCCUUUGCACCAGGAAAUCCUUCGUUUAACUUUCCACCACAGCAGAUGGGCUUGCACCGAUGUAGGAGGGAAGUCUCCAUGCACUCGUGCAUUUCUUCCCGUCCUUCUUCAGCUCCUCACACUUCUGCCUGAAGGCAUCUCUCAGGGUAAAGAAAUAUUGUUCAGUGUCCAGGAGAGAGCAGAAAGGGAGCUGGAUUGCCUCUGCCACCAUGCACUGAAGAAAAGAAUGGAAUAGUUUUGGACAAGGUUCAAGGCAGGUCAUGCAAGUUUGCAAAGGGCUUCUGCAGGGCUCCCUCACCAGCUCUUAUCCAUGAGAGCCUGUCAGGUGUAGCAGCAGGUUUCUCUGCCACCCCUCACAUCUCCUUCAAAGCGGGAACAAGCUGCCCUGGAACAGGCUGACCUUCGGCAUAAUUAUUUCUGCUUUUUUUUCCCCCAAGUCAGGGGCACCAGAGUAAAAGCUGAGGAAAGCUAAAGUAACCUCAGCUUUUUGUCAGCUUUCCUUGCAACAGUGACAGGGCUGUUGUUCUGCUCUUGGCAUUAAGUAAGAAAUCAGUGUUACCAUGGGAGCAAACUCCCAAACAGGUGGCGAUCACACACAUAUUAACCUGAACUAGUGCAGGAGGCACCAUGUCCCCCUGUGGAUCCGCCAAGGGUAGAGGAGAUCUCAUUACUCUUUGUUUGUGCUCAGAGUGUGGCUGUCUAGGGGAUGGUGCCCAAAUAGAUAAGGCUCUAAGCACAGAUGUCCGGUUUGAUUAUUCCUUUCCUUUUGCAACAAACCAUAUGGUACUAUGGGCAGCACAGAUAUCUGGCAAUCAAAAUUCCUGGGCUCCCUCCCUGACUCCGCCAUUCGCUCAUUUAAUUUUCAAAGCAGUUUUCAUGCAUCAGCAAAACUUGCUGCCUUGAACCUCCCCACCCCCUUAAAACAAGAGCUCCCCCACAUCACUGGAGGUGCUUUUAAAUAUAGUCACCAUGUCUUGCUUUGCUAUCGCAAAAUUAGGUGCACUUAAUGCUGGUAAACUACUUUGCCACCAACAGAUAAAAGGCACUACAGACAGGUUGCUAAUCACUUUGAUUAAGUAAAGCACCUAAAGUUUGCCACUGCUGCUGGACGAUUGCAGGCUGAUCCAUCUAUAACCUGCAGGAGUAAGAUGAAUUAGGCAUGAUAAGCAUUGUUUGGUUUCUGGUGCGUCAACCAGUGAGUGAAAUGACUCGGUGUUUAUAUGCCAGGUCACAGAGAAAAGUUUUUUGCGAUUGGAAAUGAUUAGGACACUGAUUAAUGCUUCCAGUGCUCUUUGAUCCAGAGCUGCUAGUUGGAAUGAGCCUUGCUGCACGGAGACAUCCCAACCGCCUGGUAACAAAGGUGCAGGGAGUAGAAAAUGGACUGAAAAAAUGCGGCUGGGGAUGGGAAGGCGCUGCUGUAAGAUAUGCUCUUUUUCCAUCGGGCUCCAGGCUUACAUUCUUUGAACCAUCCUCUUAUUCCUGGAAGUCAAGGCAGUUUGUUACUCAUAUUGUGCUUGUCAGGUUUAUUAAUUUUAAAGAAAGUGUUCAGGAAGAUUGCCAAGUCAUCUGAACUUCCAGCACUGAUAAGGACCUCAGGGUCUGCUAAGUUAAGAAGACAACAUCCCAAGUCCAGGAAAAGCUUUAGAAUACAGCACUUUCUGAGUAGUCUCAGCUCUUGUGAAACAGUUAUUUCUCUCAGUGUGCAGGUGGCAUCUCCUUGUGAUGAGUGUUCCUUCUUUCAGCCACAGGAAUUCCCAUUUUUAACCCUCAAUUAGAAUACUUCCCUUUUAUCAUAGGUGAAAUAUUUGAAAUAAUUUCCUAUGACAGGACACGGGAAGAUUUGCUUGAGUAAGAGGUAGAUUCCCCAACAUUUCUUACCAUUCCCACACCAGCACACCAUUUGUCUUUAUUAUUUCGUGUCUCCUUCAUGCUUUGGGUUCUGUGGUUGAACCUUGAACCAGCUGGGGGACAUGAACAUGGCUGCAUUGCCCACUACAUUUUCUUUACAGCCAGGACUGCAUUAUUUGUCAUACUCGCUGUCACACCUGUCGAUCCACACUUGGUCCUUCUGGGGUGAUGUUCUUUUUUGUGUCAUUUGUGUGUAUCAGAUGGGAUUUCAAUAAAAAUCAAGCAUAAUCUGUUAGCAGGUGGUGAAUGGUCACUCAAAAUAGCUCUGGAAAAUUAGGAGUGAAGACUCUAAAAUGUCUGGAUGUACCACAGAGCUGAAUUGUGGGUGUCCACACCCCAAGGGCAUUAAGCCAUUCCCAAAUCACUAUCUGCUCUCUGUUUUAGGAGAUCCCCAGAGCCAUAGCAACUUACCUCAGAAUUCUUCUACUACAAACCCAGGUGGUUCAGCAGCUACAGCUGCUUUUGUUCAGGGAAGGGAGGAGGCAGGAGCUGGGGCUGCCCCCUCCUCAGGCUACCCAAGGACAUCCCUGCUGCUCCUGGCCAGCUAUGUGCUGGCCGCCUCUGUGAGCCCUGCCUGAGCUCUGCCUGAGCACUGAGCAUUCUGGCCAUUCCACAUUUCUCUUUGCUUGUGUUUGUGCUGCAGACUCCUGAUUUUACAAAACAUGGGAAAACUUUUGAGAUACUGGAAGUGUUCAGGAGCUGAGAAACCAGUGGAUGAAAACUGGUGCCCACUGGGGAUGUAGGUCAGUGUAAGGAGAGAAUUCGAAUGCUUUUUUAACCAAACUUCAGUUUCUUUGGGUAUGUCUAUGUUUUCCAUGUUUUGCCAAGCACAAGCGCUUGCAGACACCAUCACUGACAACUUCUUUGAUAUGGGAGGCCCAUGUCCCAUCUUCCACUUGAGUCAAUCGCCUGCAGAGACACCUGGCCAGACACCUUCCCACCACCAUUUCACAUAUCCAGAGAUUAUCUGUGCCUUCCCUGAACUCAUAGGCCUGGGACCACAGCUGGUCCCUGUACAGAGCCUGUGAUCUUUGAUAGCACAUGAACUCACCCCAAGCUGGGCUGGUGGCUUUGGGAUUUCUCCUCUGCUCAGCUGUUUUCACAAAAUGCAUUGAAAGUUUGCCAUCUUAGGUUGCCAUGUCAGUUCUCUGACAUGUUUGGUUCCUUCCAGCCAAUGUAUUCAGCAGAAGGAGGAUGGACAAACAGUGAAUUCCUGGAUAUUUUUAUGUGGGAAGUUGGUAUAAAUAUGAGUAUACAUCAGUUUCCUGCCUUUGUGAAGUUGUGCUUCAUACCUGUUUUCAAGCUAUGUUGUCUUCCUGUGCAUGGUCUGAAUCAGUUAAUAUCUAAUUGCAGAUCAUUUUAGUAAAAAUAGGUGCCUGCUCUGCCUGCUUUCCAAUUUCCAGGUGGCUCCAUGGUGGCUGCUUGGCUGCUGCCUGCCCUGCUGCUAAUGUUCCUGUUUUCCUCCCCAGCUUGUGUGGCUGCCCUGGCAUGUUGCUGGGACAGGGAGCAGUGACGCAGGGUCUCCUGGAAGCCUGUGGAUGGGCCAAGUAAAACACAGCUGGGCAUCAUCCCAAGUACCUCAAAGACUGCUGCACUGAGUAGGUUCCCAUUGUCUCAGACAUCUCAUUGUACUUAAUAGCAAUGGAGGUGUCUGUAUCGCCCUCAUUUACAGCAAGCUAGUGACUGGGGCCAUGAAAGGGAGGAGUUUGGGGUGAGACAUGCCUCCAGCUCCUUGGGGUAGGAAUCUCUGCUUAUCAGAUGCAAUUUUGGAAAGGUAUUUCAGGUGUGGCUUCCAUGAUGGAGGCAAUUUCACACUGGUGGAAGCCAUCCCAGGGGUGCAUGACAACACUUGGUGGCCCCGACACUUCCCCAGCCACAUGCCCCUGGCACUGCUCCAGCUCAUUGCCAGCCUACUUGCUGCCUUGCUUGCCUGCCACAUGCAAGACAAGAAAAUGUUGGCGUGACUCUAAAACCCAUCCUCCUUAUCAUGUUCAUCUUGGUAUGGAUCCUAGCAGGGAGGCAGUGGGCGGAAUGGUGAGUUCAAAGGUGGCUAGCCAAAAAGUUAGCUCAAUCAUUUGCCUUGUUAUUGCUACCACAGUUAACCCUUUGGCUGCUGGCCCUGGAGUAGGGUAUCUGUGAGGCUCUGUUCAUCUCUCGGGCUCAUGGCUCAAGCCAUGACAGGUGUUUCUGUCAGGCGAGAGCUUUGGUUGCAGUCAGUUUUGCCUUUACUGGUUGCAGUUUCUUUUUUUCCUCUUUCAUGAGAGGUUGCUGCUCCCAGUAAGAGGCUGGGCCAUGCAUGCCUGACCAUGCCCAUGAGGUGAAGGGCAGGGCUCGUGCUUCAGGCUGGCAUGACGUGGAGCAUAAAACAAAACCAUAGCUGGGGAGGCAUGGCCAGCAAGAAGCAUGAGACUCACAGCCCCUCUGGGCAGGGUUAGACUGGGCAGACACCUGGCAGAGAGAGUGUCUGCCAGGUGUCCAGGUUAGGGUGCAGCCCAGGGCAUUAAAAGUCUGGGUGUGUGAGAGCUGGAGCUGCUGUUUGAGUUAGUUGGAGAUCUUAAAGAUCUUUGUGUGUUGGACAUCCAUGGAAAGAAAUUGCUGUUGGAUCUUUACUGCUCUCUAUUCCAAAUUGUAAAGCUCAGGACAAUUUUUCCCCUGACAUAAAUGCAUAGCAAAGUAUCUGUUGAAAAGAUAUGGGAAGGAAUCACAGAAACAGAGAUAAGACUAGGUUACAAGGGACCUCCUGACACUGUGUGAUCCAACUUUCCAUUAAAAACAGGGUCUUAGAUUAGGUUAGCUGAGGCCAAAUCAAUUUACAUCUUUAUUAUUUCUAGCAAGAAAGAUUCUGCUAUCUUCAGGCAACUGAUCCUAAUGUUGCUCUCACAAAAAAAAGUUUUUUUGAUAUUCAUGUGGAGCUUCCCUAGGACUUCCCUAGAAGCCAGUUUUGCCCAUUGCUUUUUCUCCUAUCAUAGUGCAUCCUUGUGAAAAGAUGUGUGUCCUCCAGAACUACUUUUUAGGUAUUGGAAGGCAGUGAUUUUAUUUCCCCACACUAAGCCUUCCCUGCUGAAGUCUGAGCAAACGAAGUUCAUUUAUUUGUAAAGUUCUCCACUCCCCUAAUCUUUUUGGUCCCCUCUGGACCAUCUCCAAGCUUUCAACGUCCCUUGAACUGGGAAGAAAGAAACUGAACAGUGUGUUCCAGGUAUGGCCCAACAGGUGCUGAGCUGAGUAGAAAGAUCACAUCUCUUCAUUUACCGGCAAUAGUCUCACUAAUUCAGCCCAGGAUGCUGUUGGCCAUCAUUGCUGCCAGGAUACUUGGCUGGCUCAUGUUCCCCUUGCUGUCUGCCAAGACACCCUGUGCCUUUUCAGCAGAGCAACUGUCCUGCCAGCCAGUGCCCAGCUGGUGCUCCUGCUUGGGAUUAUUCUAUCCCAGGUUCAGGACUUGACAAUUAUCUCUGCUCAACCUCAUGUUAAACUUCAUUCUUGUUGGCCAAAUCUCGACAGCCCAUUGAGGUCUCUAUAUGGUGAUUUUUUUCUUCCAGCACUGCUACCUCUUUAUCCUCAAAUUUGGUGACAGUGCCUUCAGGCCUACUUUCCAGACCACUUAUAAAGCUGAAUUGCAUUGACUUCAGAAGAAAUUAAUUUGUGCCCAGCUGCCAGCAUGACUUUGAGCCUUUUAACUUUUGAGCCUCUGAACUCAACAGUUUAGUCAGUUUCCCAGCCAUUUUGUGUUUCAUCUGCCCAGACCAUAUCUUCCUGACUUGUCAAAAAGGAUUUUGAGGGAGGCUGUGUCAAACACUUUGUGAAAAUCAAGUUGAUGAUGAUAUCCACUACUUUCCUUUCAUCCACUGAGCAUGAUUUUUGGUUAAACAGGAUUGACCCUUCAGUUUGUUCAUGUUGGCUUUUUGCAUUCAGGUUCUUGAAAUGUGUUUGCAUGGAAAUAGCUUUUGUAAGGACCUGUUCCAUAGUUCUCUCAGGGACUGAAACAAGGCUGACUGGUCUGCAAUUUCGUGGAUCUUCCUUCUGGCCCUUUCUGUAGGUAGACAUAGUCUCCAGACUAGAAGAUAUCUCUCCACAAAACUGUUUAGUCUUUUGUUUUUCACUUCCCCAGCAUGGGGAAAUAAUGUGUUUGAUACCAGACAAAUGGCUUAAAGCAGUAUGGAUGUCAACAUGCACAGAACAGAAGACCCUUGUGUGUGUUGAUACCAAUACAAAUUAAACAGAAUGAAAUCUGGGCUGGAAAGGACAGUAGCUCAUGGUGACAUUUGGUCAUCACCUAAAUUCUAAAGGUGUUCUUGGUGAUGGUGCUCAUGUUGAUGGUGAAAUAAUCCUGUCUGCAGGUCUGGGUGAACUAAAGUGCAGUUCUCUGUAGCUUGAGCUAACUUUAAUACUAUUCUUCCAAGUUUCAUUUAGGAGGGACUGGUCUUGCAUGUAUUCAGCAGUCAGGAUUUUGGCCUCUCUGCCAGUAGCUGGAAGCCAGGUCUCUCCAAGGAGUGAUCUUGGUUUCAAGGGACUGUUGUGAUAUUGCACGCAGCUGACUGGUACCUGGGGUCCUUAGAUGGAGUUGUCACCUCGUGAGAUGCACCUACAGUUCUUUUAGGUGAAAGGUAUGUGUAAAGUUUGCACAGACCAGAGCAAUAAGUGGCUUAGUUUUGGACUUAUAUUGAUAUCAAUAAUUAUAUAUAUCCAUAUAUACAUUGUUUAGUCAAUGCAGUUAUUUGGCACGAUUACCCCAAAAUACAGCAACAUGCACUCUCAGACUUGCACUCUUCUUUCAUGUUCCAAAACAAGAUAUACAUCUUUAGCUCAGACUCUCCAGUUUUGAAAUAUUAGGAGCUAUCCAUUGAUACCAUAGUAGUUGUAUUGGAACCUGAGUUUUGCGUUAUAAUAAUCACCACAUUAAAUCGGAAAUACCUUGCCACUGCCAAAGGAUGGGUUUUUCUGUUCCAGCUCAACAAGUGCCCAAGUCCUUCAUAUAUCAGCUGUUGGUGGCUCACAGUCUGGCUUCUGAGAAGAGCAAGAGGAGAAUAGCAAGGGCUGAAUAGGAAGUUGUAGAAAGACCAGGAAGGUUCUCGUGAGGCCUCUGAGCUGCACAUGGGUGUCCUUCUUCUGCACCAAUGGAUUCAAAUUUUAAGGUGUAAUUGUGAUUACAAUUGUAAUUGUAAGGCAAUUGACAUGACAUUGCUUAGCACUGUUAUUAAUAUUCAUAGAGCAGAUAGAUAUGUGUCUUCCCUUUAGGAGAGUAGAAACCCAGCAUCCACCUAGACUCUGUUAAUACCAACCCCAAGUUAUUCCAAGAUGCUAAGAAGGAAAGUGUUCUUUUAUUCCUGCUUUUUCUGUUCUAUAUUUUUUUUUUUCCCUCCUCACUAGAAUUAUCUGUUUCUGGUCUGUCUGGAAAGGGUCAAUAGAAAACAAGAUUCCAUUGGAACAUUGAGACAUGUCAUUGCAACACCCGUGGUCAGUGUUAUGUGAGUAUACAUUAAUAGUCAGCUGAGUCUAAAUAAACAUGCAGAAUGCCUGGUUUUGGCCGAGCAAGAAGUGGCAGCUGUUUGCUCUGGUGUUUCCUCCAUGCCAUGGGCUAUCUCUGGCUUUGCAGAGGUGGAACAGUUUGGGGUGUCAUUUGCCUGAAGCACUUUGUCAUUCCCUCCCACAAGCCCUCCUUCCCUCUGUCUGGCUGCUUGCAGGUUUUCAAUGAAAGGCCCUGUUCACACAUGCGGCAACCCAAAUUAUCUCUAAAUAAACCAGUAUAUGUGGAGAGCAAUUCAUGAGCACUUCCAGCACGGUGAUAAAUGGCAGGCAGGGCCAGUGUGUACAAGGUGGCCCCUCAGGCAUGUGUCUCAAUCAAGUUGUGCAAAGAUACUGUAGAAGGGUGUGGAAACAUGACCUUAAAAUAAGAGCUGUGUCUUUUGGAGCUUUAGAGACCAGAUUGUAAGUGACAGACAUGCAUCAGUCACCUCUUGUCUAGCAUUUUAUUUCCAGAACUUGACAAAUACUUCAAGUUUUACCCCCUAUUCCUCCCUAUAUGAAUACCAGUCUACUUCCUGAAAAAACAACAGUCACCUUAGCCUCUUAAAGACACCUUAAACAGCCAGGUGAGAUAAAUAAUUACAAUUUGAAAAGUGAAUGUACUGACCAGCCGUUUUCCAGCCCUUGCUGACAAAAAUUCUUGAGGUGCAGUUGUGCUUUGCCUUAGCAGAUGUUAUUCUUCUGUGAUGACCAAGAGAGAGAGGAAAAGUCUGCAAAUGCAAGAUCUGUAGGAGGUUGUGGCCAGGUUUAUCCCAGCAGGUUAAAUAGGGACAAGGCAUAACCCUGGGUACUGGUGUAUACCUGUCCAUUCUGUAAGCUGUUAGCACAGCUCCAGCCCCAGCUAGAGCUUCUCCAGACAGUGCCUGGGCACCAUCUGUGGAUGCACACUGGCCAGAGGCCAUCAACAGUAAUAAUUAGCCAGCAGGCACCUUGUUCUGGGGAUGUGAAAGGGCUUGGCUGUCUGGAUAUGAGCAGUUGGGUAGUUGGUUCUGGUGCCAAGGGAUGGAACCAACUUGUCUUAUUUACAUGUAUGAACAAGAUGAAGGUUUUGGAAUACAGGAGCCUCAGUGGUGAGGUAGAACAGAUGUGAAUUUUGCAAUUUCUAUGAAACUUUCAAGUACUGCUUUCAGAUAUUCUCUCUCUUGAAAAUCCUGUGCUUGCUGAAUUUCUAUUAUUGCUCUCACAUGACAAGGAAGGGAAGAAACCCUUGAACUUCACACAGUAGACAUAAAAUAAUGUGGAAGAAAUGUUAAAUUAUGGGAGGAGUUUUGCUCUGGUCUACAGACAAACUAUAGGAGAUUCAUAGAUCACUGAUGAUACAAUUAGAAAGUGUAGUGUAACUUCCUAUUUGUGCAAAAAGGAAGAAGGCACAGAAGGAAAGACAGAUCAAAAAUAUGGGAAUAUUAAACACAAAUAGUAUGCAACCUGAUGUGCAUGUCACAUAGUAAUGUCUGUGCUAUGUACACAUCUGUACUAGUGUCUGUUUUAUUAUUAGGCAUAAUAAAAGGCAUCCACUGUAGUCAAACUGGUCAUGCUUGUUGUUGAAAAAAUUACUAUUUUUCUGCCCUUAAAAAUUCCAGCUGAAAUGGAUCUGAUUCAAUGCUGUAAAGCUCAUCCUUCAUAAACCAGCAGUCCUGGAAUCCAGCACAGCUGAAUUAUAGAUUAAAUGUAUUUUUGCCCAUUAUGUCACUGCAUUGCCUGUACUGGGGAACUCAAAAUUGAGCAUAAUGCUCUAGAUGCAGUCUCACAAGUUUCAAAUAAAUGGGAAUUAAAACUUCUUUAACUUAUACAGUUGUCUCACCAUAGGAAAUAGCCUGGUUGGUCAGCCAAGAGAUCAACAGCACUCUGCUUGUCUACACCGACAUGAUGGGUUAUCUCCAGAGGAGCUGGCGUGUCUUUGGCUAAGGCACUAAGCUAAGAAAUGCUCAGAAAGAAAAGCUAAGAAAUGUGCCUGGCUUGAAAAGUAGAAGGUGGACCUUGGUCCUGCCUGUUUGUACCACAUUGAUGUAUCUUUGUGUCCUGUUGAAAUGGGGUCCCAUGAGCAUAAGACGCGUGGUCUAAACAAAGAAGCAGGCAACAGGGAUUAUUUUGGUAUCUCAGAUGGCCUAGUGUAUAGGAUGGUUCUUUCUCUGUCCUGAAUGUUCUUUGAACCUAUUUCAAUGUUCAUUCAGUUUUUUGAAUCUCCUGCUUUUUAAUAAAACCAGACCUGAAGAGACAUACAACUUGACUGAAGUGCUGUGCUGUAGCUGAACUGCUCUGGUUAGCAGAGCCGCCUAAGUGUUUGCAACAUGUUUGCAGGAUGGUAAAGUAAAGAACUAAGUGAAUAAAUGAGUAGCCCUAAAAUGCUGAAAAUAAACACUCUGUGAUGGAUUGAAGGGCUGGGGGAAAAAUUCCCCCCUCUCCUUGCCUUGUAUCCUCUCACCCCCCAUCCUUUCAAUAUGCUCCCCAGGGUGUGUGAAGGGGAUCCUUACAGGGGGAGUUACAAAGCUCUUGUCGUGAUCCCAAAUGUGCACUGAGCAACCUGGGUGCCUCUCCUCUCAGGCUGGGAGGUCUGAGCUCUGCCAAAAGCUUCUGGCCCCCUCUCCCAGCCUGAUGCUUUGAAAGACUGUCGUUGGCUCCAUGACACUGCGGGUCUGUUGACUUGUGUUUGGAUGUUUGUGCUGGGAUGUGUGCACAACUCAAAAGCAGGUCUGAGGUUAAGUAAAGCCCCUUGCUUGGUGGGGAACCUUGAUCAACAUGUCACAGAACGUGACAACUUCCAUAAUGGUUUUUAAAAAAUGUGUACAGGGUUAGCUGCCAGCUUCCAGGGAGGGAUAUGUGUAACCACUUGAAAUAUUCAACUUCUGAGCUCUGCCAUCUUCUCCACAGCAGUUUUGAAGACUUUGUUUGAUUUCUCUAUGCCAGCCAGUUACUGUACUAUUUAUCUGACAUCUUUAAGUUUUGUGUGGCUUACUGAACGGUUUUUCAUGUCGGAGACUUAAUAUAGGCUUUAGUGUUCUGAUUUUUUUUCUAGUGUUCUAACUGAAAAAGAAUUAUUGGCUUUUAAUUUUUUUAUUAUUUCUGUCUCUAUUUAUGGGCAGAUAUUUAAUACUUUUGAAAAUUUACUCCUUUUAUCAUGUCUUAAUUCAGGCAUCUAAAACCGUGGCCCACUUUGAAUUUAGGCCAAACAGCCCUGCCAUGACAUGACACAGUUUUCUCUUGGUUGGGCACACAGCUUAGCACAGAUGAGUUUGGAGGUGAGUGUGAUAAAAAGAUACUUAGGCUGCAAGGAUAGAAUAAGGUUUUGUCCAAUGUACAUUACUUGUAGCAUACUCUUAUGUCCCUCCAAGACAGGGGAUGUGGAUUGUGCUCUUUAUGAAAGGCCUGUAUAAGCACUAAAUGCUGGAAAUAAAAAGAUGGUUGAGCGUGAUUUUGCAGUCAUUGUGGACUUUUAUUUCAAGAGCGAUGUGACUGCUGGGGUCAGUAAUAAUAACCAGAGUAGGCCUACCUUUCACAUGCACUCAAUAAACAAGUGUUGGGGUAUUUACAUGAAAAGAGGAAUACUUACAAUGCCCAAAGAAGGAUUUUAUUAGAGAGGCAGAAACCCAGAAUGAUACCAUAACCUGCCCACCACCUUCUGAGGUCACAGUCACCUCUUCUGCCAGUAUUGGAGAAAUUUGCCACCAAUCUCAUUUGCUACAUACUUUUCAGUAGUGUACUUCUGCUAUACAUCUUGAAAGAGUUUAGUGUUAAACUGGUUCUCCCAUCCCCUCUGGACCUCAGUGCAAAUGAGAAAUGAGAAUCAGGUGAAAGGCUUAUGAAAACAACUAUUUUUGGCUUAGCCCUGAUAGGACAACAAUUCCGUUGUUCUGCCCUGAUAUUGUCAGUGUGACUCAUCUGUAGAGGACUUUCUGGCCCAUUUUCUUUAAAAAUGUGCUCUAUCCAGAGAACUGACUGGGACUUUCUAAAACUGGAAACACUGAAAAAGAAUAGUUUGCCUGUUUGUUGAAUGUUGGUUAACCCUUUCUAUACCACCUGACCUCAAAAGGUAGAAUAUGUGCUGUCUUAUGCAAGAAGGUGCUUUCAACCAGAAGUGUGUUUUUAUGGACUUUUUCCCCCUUUUUUUCCAGGUGGAUGUGGAUUAUGGAGAGAUCAGGUUUUAAGGCUGUUGUGGAGAUUAAGUUCAGGUAUCCUCAGAGACUGAAUAGCUGAUGGCUACUUCAGCAUGGGAAGAAUGGUCAAGACUGGAUAAUGCCACUCUGAACCUCAUCUGUCCUCUGGUGGUACCUUGCAAGCCUUGGGCGUCAGAGGAUUUUCCUGGUCUUUGAGAUUCCCAAAGCAUGAGGACUGCUGCUGAGCUUUGAGGGUGCCACCACUGACAGAAAUGUGAUGCUCAGCAAGAGCCUGGAGAUAUUUCCUCCCUUAGUCCCUUGUUGUCUAGGAUGCAGAUAUGCCACUUUUCCCCAAACUGGGAAAAUGUUUUCUUCAGUCACUCAAAUACCAGAAAACAAUGCAUUGGAGAGCAAGGGUUAGGAAGAACUCAGUCUUGCCAUCCUCCCAGCGAGGAUAUGUCCCUUCCUUUUCACUUGUGUGUUUUCCCUGAAGCUACAAACUCAGGUUGCAGUUGGAGAAGUGCUUACUUAGUGUGACACUGAAUAAUUUCUCUUUCAAGGGCUUUAAGUACUACAUUGAAUUAGGACUUUAGAAAGGUAAAAGCCAAGCUCCCUUUGCCAAGAGGAGCUUCCAUUCAUAGAGUCAGGAAGUGAUCUGACAUGGACAUUGAUGACCUACUUUGUUAUCUGUAUGUGAAAUCUGGCUCUGCUGAAACCAGUGGCAGAACUGCCAUUGAUUUUAAGAGUUCUGAAUUUCAUUUUCAGUAUGUUUAUUUGCAUUACUUUUUUUCCUAUAAUGUUCGAUAUGUAGGCAGAGAUGUCAGGGGGAAAAUAAUGAUAUGAUUGAGACACACUUUCCAUUAUGGUUAGGGGUGGGCAGAUGUCACUGUGGGAAGAUGCAUUCAGAGUUUAGCCUGGCACUUUGAAAUGCUUUUAAUUUUUUCCUGCCUGCCGUGCUUCAGUCUUCCAGGUUAAACUUGUGUAUGAAUGGCAGGUCUUAUUAUUUUGAGUAUUCUAUGUUUUUCUUCAUUAUUUAGAUACCAAACUUGCAAAACAUGCCUCUUAGCAGGGCAAUUCAUCCUCUACUGGAUCUUAAUGAGACCAGUUCUUCCUUUCCUGGGAAAGUAUGUGCCUCUGGUGAGAGAAGCCCACCUUUCACAAACCACAGCUAAAGCUUGUUUUUUCACUGAAGCACAAGCACACAGCCACUUGCAAAUGUCAGUUUUCUUAGCAUGGAGCAAAUAUACAUUUUGUAAAUGUGGGACAGACAUGUUUUGAUGUGGGUCUUGAACAGGGCUUCAGUAUAGAGAUAGCUCAUCUUUAAUUUAUAGUUACAUGCAACUGAACCAUUCCAGGAAAAGCCAUUUUGUGGUUCUUGGGCCAGGGAAGAAGGAGGAGGAGGAGGAGGAUAAAAACCUUCUACCCUAAACAGUAACAGAUAGGACAGGCAGAACAGAUCUAUGUUCCCUAAAUGAAAACUUAGUAAAGAGCUCUUAAAAUGUUUCUCAGUAUUAAAAUCACUGAGAGAUUUGUGCUAAAACUCUUUCAGGUAUCAGCUCUUCUUUGGGGAAAAAAAUAAACACUCCUUUUUUUGUUUGCUACCUCUGUUGCCACAAGCAAAUUUAGUUCAAUUCAGCUGGCAGCCAGUCACCAGUGGUGCUCCCCAGGACUCAGUACUGGGGCCAGUUCUUCUUAAACUCUUUAUCAAUUAUAUUGAUGAGGGCAUUGAGGGCACACAGUAAGUUUGUGGACAACAUGAAACUGGAUGGGACUGUUGAUCUGCCAAAAGCAUCUGGAAAGGGAUCUGCAAAGGAAUCUGAACAGGCUGGGUUGAUGGGCUGAGGCCAAUUGUAUGAGGUUCAACAAGGCCAAGUGCCAGGUCCUGCACUUGGGUCACAACAACCCACUGCAGUGAUACAGGGUAGGGGCAGAAUGGCUGGAAAGCUGCCCAAAGGAAAAGAACCUCUGAUCAGCAGUGGCUGAACAUGAGUCAGUGUGCCCAGGUGGCCAAGAAGGCCAAUGGCACCUGGUCUGCAUCCAAAAGAGUGUGGCCAGCAGGACCAGGGCAGUGAUUGUCCCCCUGUGCUGGGCACUGGUGAGGUCACACCUCAAUCCUGGAUUCAGUUUGGGGCCCCUCACUGCAAGAAAGACACAGAGGGGCUGGAGUGUCCAGAGAAGGGCCGUGGAGCUGGGGAAGGGGCUGGAGCACAAGUCCUGUGAGGAGCAGCUGAGGGAGCUGGGGGUGU